UGCGGUAUUUUGUUGCAUCAAAAUGAAAAUAUAAUCGUAAUUUCUAUGUUGUGUUGCUUUGCUCCAGCAGUUGGUCAAAUUGAAAAUUGAAAGAAGGUUAUCAAUGGCAAUAUGGCAUUAAAUACGCACCGCAUGAUUAAUGAUACCAAUAAUGAUAUUUUGUAAUGGUAGUAUGGUACCCACGGCCCAUGCAAUAACACAUUGGCCGUCGAUGCUAUAAGGUAUGGGGGCAUGAAGCCCAUCCAACUCAUUCAUUCACAUGUCCUGCAUUUAUCAUUUCCACUUCACCCUCUUCAACAUUUAUUGUCACCACCAAAUUCCACAACGUUCACCCUUGAAAGUUUUUAUUAUUCAUGUUAAAGGUAUUGUUCCGAGGCCCUAGCUAGUGCAUCAUCAUCAAAUCAUUGGCAUGGAGAAGUCUUUUGGUACACACAAUUUUGCAUAUGUUGAUCGUUUAAUGGAACUUUUAUCAUUAUAUCUAACUAUUCCUGCGAUACAAUAUUUCUUAAGGUAUGAACAUUAAUGUCUUGCCGAGAGUGUACAUAAAGCUUCUAUUUAUUUUUACUACCGUUCAAUAAAAUCAUGCUAUUUAUACAAUCAUAAAAAAAAAAACAAUAUGUAAUUUUUUUAAAAGAAAAUUUUACUGAAGUAAUUUUGGGAUAACAACAUUUCGGUUCAGUGGUUUCCAAUGUUAUUUUUCAAGUACGGACGUAGCUCGUGCAAUUAUAUCAAAUGGGUCCAUGAUUCCUCCCAAGUUUUGUUUUGUUCUUCUUCUUUUAAUAUCACAUCGCCAUAUUCUCUUAAAUCAAUUCUAUGAUGGCAAAAUUUAGAUAUUUAUUUUGGAUCUAGAAUGAAUGGGACCUAUUUUUGAACGAUUAAAGGACCUGAUAAAUACACGUAAGUAAACUCAAAUUUCGUAGAAGGAGAAUUAAUUAGGGAUGGCAAUGGGUAGGGGAGGGGAGGGGACCAAUCUUCCCGUACCCAUUCCCGAUAUUUUGUGUAUGUCUCUGUUCUCUCAUCGUCCCCGUCAGAAUUACUUGAGAGAAUUUUCAUCUCCUCCCCGAAUAAUAACAGGGGAUCCCCGAGGGUCCCCGAUCUCCAAAUAACUAAUACAUUUUUUUGUUUUCGAUUUUGAGUUAAUCAUAUUAAAAUAAAAAAUUCAAAUAAAAGUAAAGUUUAGAAUAUUUCUUACAUUAAUAUCCAUUACAAAAGUCACAUAUAUUAAAUUAAUAAGUACCGCAGCAUGCAAGGGAUACAAACUUCUUUUACAAACUAUCGUGAACAAAUUAAUAGUCUAAUACAAAAUUGUUACAAAUAAAAUCGAAUUUAAAUUCAAAAUUAACUUUUUCAAUGGUUUCGUGGGCACUUUAUAAAUGUGGACUAUUCCCUUUACAGCACAAUAGUUAAGUCGGAGCAAAACAAAAGCAAAUAUUAGAUUAUAUUAUAUUAGAUUUUAAAAUUGUGAUUCGCUGUGGGCAAUUAUAACAUCUAAAAAUAAAUAAAUAAAUAGAUUUAAAUUUAAAAUAUUUAAUGAAUAUUAAAAUUAAAACAAAAUUUUUGGGUUAAUAGAAUCUAUCCGAUCUUUUUAAUGUCCUAAAUAAAAAUUUAUGACUUUAAUUAGUUAAUUAGGCCUAAAAGUUCAAUAAUAUAAAUAUUUUGAUAUUUUUUAUUUUUACCAAUAUUUAUAAUUUUAUAAUUCAAAUUUUAUUAUUUAUUUACUAGUAAUUUUAAAAAUAAAAAUAAAUUAAAAAUUAAAAUGGGGAAAUGGGUAGGGGAUGGGGAUUCCACUUCAUCCCCGUCCCCUCUCCGAAUAAGAAAUUGAGUAAAAAUUCCUCGUUCCUUCCCCGAAUAAAAAAUUGAGUAUAAAAUUAUCCACAUACUCUUCCCGAAUGGGGAAAAUCCCUGAGGCUACCCGUCCCUGUGGGGAUUUUUGUCAUCCCUAGAAUUAAUUGUUAGGUUAUUAGAUGGUCAUGGUGAAUCACCAAGUAUUAAUGUUGGGGUUCGGCUACGGUGUAACUGUGGUACCAUGCCAUAGUUGCAUCCAGCCGUUGGAUCCACUUAAAUGGGUGGGAUCCAUUAAGAUCUAACGACUGGAUGUAAUUGUGGACAACUAUAAUACGGUACCACAAUUACACCACAAUUUUUCCCUUAACGCUGUAGUCUUUGGCACCAAAUUUAAAGCAAUGAUUCACCAAAUUUAAAGCAAUUCUAUGAUGGCAAAACUCAUUGACUCUUGAAUGGUCUCUCCGCGUACGCGUGAGUGCGUGUCGGUAUAAAUACGAAGGACUUGUCACAUUGCCCACAUUGAUGACCCCCCCCCCCCCCCCGACAAUCUGGUUACUUGUAUGCCUCUUUCAUCAUAAAAGAUUAUCAAUUCUUCAUAAAUUUGACUCUUUUCUGUCUUCCAAAUUCAAAUUUUCAAAAGUUAGAUUCGAAUUGAUUGAAGAGUUUGAAACUAUUGGCACCCCUUUAAUAACUUCUUAAAACUCUUUCUUAACGGCACCCAUUUAAUAAUUAGAAUAAAUUAAACUUUUUGUUUACACCUAUUUUUAUUUCUUAAAUACCCUUAUUUUCAUUUUCUUCUUUAAUAAAAUCCCACAUUUUCGUUGUAUAAGUGUAGAAUACCAAAUAUGGUCUUCUUUCUUUGGAAUUUUAUUUAUUAAAAAAAUUCAUUAAAAUUUGAAAAUAAACCCACAUUAUCAUCAAUAAUUUGUCUGUCUAUAUUUUUUUCACUACUUAAACCCAUAUGAUUUUUAAAAAAAAAAAUUAUUUUAUGAAAAUAUUAUGAGUAAUUUUCUUAAUGAUAGAAGGUGGAGUGGUUAUAGAAAAAUUAUUAACCGGUUAACUAGGAACUAAAUAUCGAAGAAAGUAAACUUGUUGAUUUUAUAAUGAAUUAUUAGAUGUUCUUGGUUUUUGCAAAAAAACAUAAUCAGCAUUAAAGAGAUGAUUGUUAUUCUUUUAUAUGCUUUUAAUCAUGACUUAAGUAGUAAAUAUAGAGAAGGGAUUUUGAAGGGUGACAGCAACUCCACUCUUGAUUGAAUUCAAUUUUUUUAUCACGGAAUGCAAAAAUUUCUUCUUCUUUUUUUCAAAAUACAUGGGGUAUACUAACGAUAAAAUUAUGCUAUAAUCAUCGUAUUGUAAUCCUCUUUCAUUUUCUAUGAUUCAACCCUUUAUUUUCUUUCUUAUAAGUACAACGAUAAUUUUAUUUUCUAUUCUUCUUCCCUUCUUCUCCAUGUGAUCUAAUUUUCUCUGUUUAAUAAUUAAUCAACUGCUAGUGAUGAACCUCUUAUGAUUAAAAAAAAAAAAUAUUAAUCAACCAAUUAUAAUUAACAACAGCCAACUUCUUUGCAACUAUUGGUUCGUUUCCUCAAUUGCAAAAGCUUGAUCAUUAAAAUUUAUUUUUACUCCGUACAACAUUGUUAGUGCCAAAAUUGACCUUAGCUAAAUAAGACUUUUAAUUUUGUUUUUUUUUCUUUUAACACCUGUAAAAGUAUUUAAACAUAUCAAGCUAAUUUUUAUGUUGACACAUUUAUUAACAAUACUGUUAAUACCAAAAUUGACCUUAGCUAAAUAAGGUUUUUUUUUUUUCAAACAUUCAUAAAAAUUCUUAUCAAGUAUUUCUAUGUUGACCCAUUUAUUAAUCUACAAAAUGUCUUCGUUUAGAGUAGUUGAGAAAACUAUUAUGAUUUUUUGUUUUAGUUUUCCAAAUCAAACCCAUUUUUCUCCAGUCUUUUUCUCUAAUAGCCAUUCGCUCAUACUUAUGUUUUGACCCCACCCACCCAAAAAAUAAAAAGGCCCACCACACAAUUCUUCUAACGAUCGAUUGAUUUUUUAUUCUGCUCCUUAAUUUCCUUUUUUUUUAAUUGCACAAUGCUAUUUUCUUUCAGUGAUAUUGUUGCUUCUUUUUUAUAUUCUUUUUCUUUUAUUCUACCUUAACUGCAAAACAUACUUUUUUUUGCAAAUAAUUAAUUUGUUGAUUUUUUUUUUUAUUGUAAGGAAAAAUGUGGCAAGUCAAAUAACCAGAGCAUGAAAACAUGUGAGCAUGAGACCUUGAGAACAUUUAAGCAUAUGAGCAUGUGAGCAUGAGGGCACGUGAGUAUAGGAGCAUAUGAGCAUGAGAGCAUGUCAGUAUGACAGCAUGUGAGCAUGUGAACAUGCAAGCAUGAGAUCAUACUAGUUCAGUAGAAAGUUUAAUAAGUCAAUUAAGCAUAGCUAUGUAAGUGCAUUAGAACUUGUGAUUAUGAGAUAAUGAGAACAUGUUAGUAUGAGAGAAUGCAAGCUUAGUAGGAAACUUAAUAAAUCAAUUAAGCACCUUACAUGAAGGUAUGAGAACAUGUGAGCAUGAGGCCACGUUACAUGAAAGCUUGUGACCAUGGGACCACGAGACCAUGUAAGCGCGUGAGUAUGUAGAGGAGAAUGAGAGCAUACAAGCUCAGUAAAAAGCUUAAUAAGUCAAUUAAGUACAGUUAAAUGAGAGCAUGCAAGCUCAGAAGAAAGCUUAAGAAGUCAAUUAAACACAAUUACAUUAGAGUAUGCAAGCUCCAUUAAGAAACUUAAUAAGUCAAUUAGGCUAAGUUAAAUGAGAGCAUAAAGUCAAAUGAGCACAAUUGUUAAAGAGCAUGAUUGCAACCGAGCAUUGUGGUAACACUUAAUAAGUAAAAAAAGUAUGAUUGCGGGAGAUUGUGGCUGUAAGAGAGUAUAAUAGCACGAGAGCGCUACCAUGGCAGAUGGGUUUAACUAAAAAAGCCCACCUGCUGAAUCUAAUAACGAGGCACCAAUAAUUGGAAACAUUAUCAAAGACAGUAAAAGAAUCUAGAAGCUCUUGAAGCACAAAGCAAGAUAAAGAAGGAGAUAAAUGCUGGAGAUAAGCGUUGAUAUUAGACAAAACUCAAUUUAAGAAAGAGAUAAAUAUUGACAUCAGAUAAAAGUCUUAGUGAUAAAGAUGAUCAACACGAGAAAUUAUCGAGGACUUGGGAUAUAAAUUUUAUUAUAAAUAGAGAAUCCUUGAUGCAUAGAGAUAUAGGAGCAAAUGGUUAAACAAAAAAAAAAGAGCUUCAUUGUAAUUCUCAUUUAAUUGUGAGCAUUACUUUUUCUAUACCCAUGGAUAUAACCAAGUGUUAACCACGUAAAUUCACUAUUUUUUUCUUAUAUCGUCCCAUUAUUUAAUUCUCUAGUUGAUUAGAAAUUCCGUCAAUUUUUUAAAAAAAAAUGCAAUGCCCUUAAUUGCAAAUAAUAUUUCAGUAUUUUGCAAUUAAAAUUUUUGAUAAAUAUCAGUUUGUAGAGUAUUUUGUAGGGUGCAAAUAGUCUCAUCCUAUUUUUAAUUAUCUAAUUAUUUACUAAUUUGAAACAAUCUAGACUUAUGUGACAAAAUUUUGAAACGUUUUAUUAUUUAUAAUUUCAGUACACAACAAGGGUUGCAGUGUUAAUAACCAAUUUAACACAUCCACCCAUUAAAGCUACUCUUCCGUAAAAUCUGAUGGUGAUAACACAAACACAAAAAAAACAAUGAGGGUAUUACACAACAGUUGUAGGGUAGUUAGACUAGUCUAUUAACAAGUUAAAUACAUGUACUUUUAUUACAAAUUAAAUAUGAGUAUAAUUGGAAAAUUUAUGUUUACUGGACACGAGGCUUCACCCUUUUAUUUAAGAAAAUAUAAAUGCUUUUAAUAAUAUUUGAGAAAGUAUAUUUACCAUUGCUCAUAAUUGCUAGAGAAGAUUCUUAUUAAGUGCAUGUUUGGUAUGACUUAUUUAAUGAUUAUAAGUGAUUAUGUAAUUCCUAAAGCUCUUCUUUAUUUUAUUUUAUUUUUUUGCAUUGUCUAGCUGUACUUUGAGAGGAGUUUUGGAGAUUAAGUACUUGUUUGCUAUAAUUUAUCUAAUGGUCAUAACUACUUAUGUAAUUCCACAAGCUCUUUUUAAAAUUUUCAUUAUUAUUUGAUUAUUUUUUUAGUAGAGAUUUUGAAGAUUAAAUGAGCUAUAUUGAGCUUAAAUUUUAGGUUUUUGAGAGUAGAUGUUAAAUUUUCUUUUUAACUUAUAUGUAAUAUAGUUCAGCCUCUUUUUUAAAAUGUUAGAAUACCUAAAAUGUCAUUUACUUAUUUGUCAAUCAUAUUUCAUUCCUUCAAAAUAAUUUUAUAAUUUCAAUGAAAGCUCUUGUUGACAACCCAAAAAACAAUUGGUAAAAACUUUAUUUAUAAAAGCUUUAAAUAACCUAUAAAUAAAAAGUUAUACUAAAAAGAGCCCAAACAAGCUAUUCUACCUCUAUUAACAACUAAAAUUUUGAGCUUUUGAAAAUAGAUGUUAAAGAGCAUUUUUAAUAGUUAAAUUGUCUAAUAUAUUCUUUAUUUGUUACACAAUAUUAUUUCAUUUAUUUUAUAAUAUAACUUUAGAAAAUUUAUCAAUUGAAAAUAGUCUUUUAUAAUUUUUAAUAAAAAUUCUCAAUGAUAACUAAAUAAUUAAUUUUUUUAAUAAAAACUCUAAUUUUUAAGAGACUUUGAACUGAAAGGGGAAGCCUUAGUAGUGUGGAAAUAUUAAUUGAAACAUGCAAAACAUGAUGUUUGAUGACAAUAAAAGUCAAAUAAUAUAUUUAAGCUGGAACAAAUUGGAUGGGGUAAAUAAUCGGUGAGGGGAAGUGGGUAUGAUUAAUGAGAACGAAUAAUAUUAAAAAAUUAAUUUUAAUUAACACAGUUGUAUUGUCGGAUAUUUAUGAUUGGCUUUUUGUAGUCUAUUUGGGAUUGAAGUUAGACAAUUGUAACUUAAAAAUUACAGUACUAAGUGUUUGGUAAAUACUAGCUGCUUAGUUUGUAUUGUCGGAUAUCUAUGAUUGGUUUUUUGUAGUCUAUUUGGAAUUGAAGUUAGACAACUGUAAAAAUUACAGUACUAAAGUGUUUAGUAAACACUAGCUACUUAGUUUUCAAAUUAAGUUGAUUUGAUUUUACAUUUAUAUAAUAAAAAAAUUAUUAUAUCUUUACUAAUUUUGUCAAAAUUAUUAUUUAAAAAUUGUAUUUACUACGUAUGAUUAACUUUUAUUUCAUAAUUAUAAUUUUUUUUCCACAACAGUUGUAGGUUAAAAGUUAUACCACCUCAAUCCCAAACGUGACCUUGGAUAUUUGCCCUUUUCGCACAUUGGCAAAAAUUCAAUGCGUAAACAAUAAAAGAAAAGACAAAAAAAUUUGGGAGUACAAAAUGUAUAAUAUUGGCACCAAGUGCCAAAAUUAGUACUUAGCCUUAUAACUCUGCAUCACAUACUUUUAAAAUAAAGAAGAUUGAGGGCAUGUUUGGAAUUUGUUGUAAUUUAAAGAAUAAUAUGAUUAUGCUCUGCUGAGAAAAAUAAACAAUUAUACCAUACAACAAUUAGCAGUUUGGUAAUUUUAUUGUUAAAGGUGCUAUAAAUGUCAAAAACAUUUUGCAUGCAUUUACGUAUUAAAGUGUUUUGAUAUGAUAUAAUGACCAUAAGAAACAAAGAAUAAAUUGCUCACACACAUUUAAAAAAAAAAUUUCUAACACUCAAUUUUGCACCAUAUGAAAAAUUAAACCACUAAUUGAAAAUUCUUUGAACUUUAUAAUUCAUAGAAAUAUUUUAAUGAACAUAUAUAUGGAUAUAUCAUGUAAUUGAUAAUUUAAUGGUUAUAAUUGUUGUAAUAAGAAAUGUGAAAAGUCACAAUAAGCAUGACUGUAGAAGAGCACAUCAAGAAGAGAGCACGAUAGCAAGAGAAUUCAAUAACUAGAAACUUGAAUAAAUAAAAAAAACAUGACUAUAAGAUAGCACAGCUAUAAGAGAGCUCAGUAGUUGGAAGUUUGAAUAAGUUAAAUAAGUACAACUGUAGGAGAGCACACCUACAAGAAAGCACGAUAGCAAGAGAGCUCAACAACUAGAAAUUUGAAUAAAUCAAGACAGCUACAGGAGAGCUUAGUUAAAUAAGCAUGACAGCAGGAGAGCACAACUAUAGAGGAGCACAAUAGCAUGAGAGAUCUAUAGCUGGAAGCUUAAUAAGCCAAAUAAGCAUGACUGCAAGAGAGCACAACUACAAGAGAGCAUGAUAGCAUGAGAGUUUAGUACCUAAAAGUUUAAUAAGUUAAAGGAAAAUUAUCAGUUAUAUACCCUUAAAUGACAUCCGUAUCAAACAUGCUACAACACUUUUCAAGUGUAUCACUCGUAUACCGUAAGUUGAUAAAACACUUCUGCCGUCCACCAAUCCGUUAACUUCCGUUAGAAAAGUUAACAUAAUUAUGGCAAAUUGACUAUUUUGCCCUUGAAACUCAAAAUAAGGUAAAAAUAUGAAUUUACCCUAAAAAUUAACUUAAAUUUUCAAUACACAAUUUCUUUUAUUUUGUUAUUAACAAUACAUUUUUUAUUGAAAAAAUAUGAAUUAUUAAUGGUACAUAUUAUUAACAAUUAUCUGUAAAAAAUAUUCAUAUUAUAACAUAAAAAAAUAUUAACAACAUAUUAUUUACAAUUAUAGAUAUUAUACUAUAAAAAAUUCCAGUUGGAGCUUGAAGGAGUAGAUCUUCAAAAAUUUAGGUUAAAUUUUGAAGGAGUAGAUUCGGUUGUAAAGUAGCUUUUUUUUAGCAAUUAUUAAUAAUUAUUCGAUAAAUGGGAUGACAUGUUAUUUUUAUUAAUAUAUAUCAUAUGACAUGUUAUUUUUUAUUAGGUAAAUGAGAUGACAUGUCUUUUUUUUUAAAAAGACUAAAUUACCCUUAUGAUGUCAGCGCUUGCAAACGGCAGUUAACGGAUUGGUGGACGGCAGAAGUGUUUUGUCAACUUAGGGUAUACGAGUGAUAUAUUUGAAAAAUGUUGUAACACGUUUAAUACUGGUGUCAUUUAAUGAUAUAUGACUGAUAAUUUUCCUAAGUUAAAUAAGCAUAAUUAUAGGAGAGUAAAAUAUAGAAGUCAAAAACCCAAUGACUUUAUUUUACAGAAGAAAAGUACUAAAACAAAAUUACAAAAAAAAAACUCAUAAUAAAAUGAACACAAAACACAAUAAACCAUAUAGAAGUCGUUCCUAGAAAAUAUUUCGUUAAAGAGCCUACGCAAAAACCACGGCCAUAGGUCUAUAAGAACCUCCUCGCACCACCAUAUCAAAACUCUAUUGAAUUAGAAAAUAGGAAUGUGUGUGUGUGUGUAAAAGGCAGCUGUAUUAUGCACUAUAAAAGUCUAAUAACUCGGCAUCAUCAAAGUAACAGUGUUUACAUUCUCUGAGAUUUUUUUUUUUUUAUAUAAUGGAGCCUAGUAAAGAUUAGGACAAAACAGAGCGGGGAAUAGUAUUCCCAUACAUAUCAUUUCAUAACCAAUAUCCAUACAUUCUCUGAGAUAACCCCACAAUAAUGGUACAAGUGUGACUAGUUGAAAGGUCGUUGAAGCUAUUAACAGCUCUUCACCAGCGAGAAUUAAUUAAUGCAGCCACCUCCUCAUUGCACAUGAAGCUUUCUAUUUUCCCCAAGUCCCCACCUACAAACCUCCAAACACUCAUAAAUCCCUAAUGCAUCCCCCUCCUAUUUAUUAACCUUACACCAUCUUUGGCAGAACGAAACAAAACAAACACGGAUUAUUCUUUUUUCCUUUGUAGUUAGCUUUCGAGGAAGUUUGAGGUUAUAUUUAUUAAAUAUAUUUUUCCUUUUGGUUGUAUCUGAGUGAUCUAAGCAGAUGGGUAUCGUCUCUUUGAUAACAGGAAGGCCUGGAUCAAGUGGGUUUGGUUCAGCUUCCACUGCUGAGCAGGUUACUGAUGGGAUUGACGCAACCAACCUCACUGCUGUCAUCACAGGUUAGCUUCGCUUAUAGCUUUAAUAUUCAAAAGUUCAACAUUAUGGUACUUGAUGGUUUCUUUGAUGUAUGUGACUCUUUUUGUGAAUCUUUCGAUCAACUUAUUGCUUUCUUUAUUGUUAAAUCUUUUUUUGUGGUGAAGAAUAUGGAACUUUUAUUCAACUAUUUGUAAUGCCGGCUCUACCACGUUACUUGAGGCCUUUGGGGAAACUACACAUUAGGGUUUUAUUUAUUUAUUUGUCAAAAUAAUUUUUUUUUUUAAAUUGAAAUUGUAGUUUAGAGCUUUCCUUUCUUGCUUCUUCAUAUGAAAAAUCAAUCGUUAUGUGCUAAAAAUAAAAAUAUAUAAUCGUCCACAUUACGUUCUCAUAUUCAAAACUAUGUAUCAUUCACAGAGAGAAUGUCUCCUUUUCAUAUUUAUUUAGGAAUUUAUUAAAAAAAGUAUAAUUUAAGAAUUUAUGUAAGAAAAAGUUUAUUAAUAUAAGUUUUAGUAUUUUGAUUGAAUUUUUCAAAUAUAAGAAAAUGGGGUCUUUAAUUGCAUCCGUUGAGGCACUUACUUGCCUGGGCUUUCGGCCGAUCAUGCAAAUUUGGAUCCAUAUCCCACUGACGUUUGUCUCAUGCCUCCCAACCAAAAUCUAACCCAUUAACAAGUAAAUAAUAAAACAGUGGGAGAAGUAUUAGGCUUGUUUCGUCACAUUUUCUGUUUUGCGAAAAUAAUAAAAUGAAAAACAUUUUCUGUAGAACACUUUUUAACAUCGUUUUUCAUUUGAUAGAAAUUGAUGGUAUCCAUUUUCUACUUUUUGUUUAGAAAAGCAGACAAGGAUUAAUUGUCGUUUCAAUUUCACUGCAUCGGAAAUUGCACAAAGGCUCCACAAACUUUUUUGUUUUACUUCAUCGUAAUUACUAUGACCCCAUAUGUCUUCCUUUUUUAUUUAAAAUUUCACAGCAAUUAGAAAAAAAAAGGGUCCCAAAUAUCUUUUAUUUAAUAUAAUUGCUUCAUAAAUACUACCAAGUAUAAUUUUACAAUUUUUGUUUUAAACACUACUUUUAAAAUAAGUUACUAAUCGUGUUUUUAUAUUCACCCAAAACUAAUAAUUUUUUAUUAUUAAAAAAUACAAAAACACCAUUUGAAAAAUAAUACCAAAUGCACCCUUAACUUACCAAUCAUAUUUAUGAUUCAAAAAUAAUUUUUAAAAAUUGGGUGUGUUUGGUAUUAUUUUUUAAUUGGUGUUUUAUAUACUACUUUUAGAAAAAAGAAAAUGACAUUCUUAAUGUGACAUUUUUUAAAUUGAAAAUAUGUUGACCAGUUUGAUUUAUAAUGAGGGGGGAAAUGACAUUUUUCCAUUAGUACAGGUUUGAUCAGAAAUUAACCAAAAUAUAAUAAACGUUUUAUAAAAACUCAAUUUGAAAAUAAUUAAACCCAAUGUGAUUUCUAAAUUAUUCUUUUUGUAUUUUUUUUCCAAAAAUAAAGAACUAUUGUAUGCAAAGCGUGUCUUAACUGUAGACACUUAGAAAAAGAGGGAGGAAAAAAACAAAAAAACAAAACAAAACAAAAAGAGAGAGAGAGCGAAAAAUGGACCUGGUUAUGCUUUUUGUCCUCUCUUUCUUUUAAAUACUCUCAUGUUUUUAAUGUUCAUAAUAUAUAUUAAUAGCAUGCUUUUGUAAAUCUUCUUUAGUUCUUCAUAUUGAUCUCUGCUUUAAGAAUUGCUCUGAUUUUCUCUCUCUCAAGAAUGAAAGCACUAGAAUCUUUUUUUAUAUAAAAAAGAAUUUAUGUAUAAAUAAAAAAAAGUUAUUAUCUUUUUAUUGCUUAAGUUAUUGGGAAAUAUAAGAUAUAAGUGUAACAAGUAUUGUUGCAUAACAUUUUACUACUAAAGAAUUGUAAAAUCUUAAAUUUUAUUAUUUUUCUGUUAAAACUGUUACUUAAUCGUUGGUUAUAACACCUUUAAAAUAUUAAUUUUACCCUUACUUGAAAAAACAUACAAAGAAUAUUGAUGAAUUUAAAAAACAUUAAUACAAAGUAUAUUAACAUUUUUUUUUUAUCAAUACCAAUCGUAAUAUGUUUCUAAUAAUAAUUUUACUCUUCAUAUUCAAUGAAAUUGUUAUUUUGAUUUUACUUUACCCCUAUUACAUCAACAUGAUGUAUGCGAUCAAUUAACAGUUAACUAAUCGUUAUAAUUAAAUUUAUAAUUAUUUAGUAGUAAAGUGUUAUAGUAUAGUCAUUACCGUACCUAAGCAGUAAAAAGAUAAUAACUCAGAUAAAAAUAUUUGAACACAAUUAAGAUAUAUAUUUGGGGAUAAUUAAUUGACGAAGGAAAAUGCUUGCAGGAGGGGCAAGUGGAAUUGGCUUGGAGACAGCAAGGGUCUUGGCUCUACGUAAAGCUCAUGUUAUUAUUGCUGCAAGAAACAUGGCAGCUGCAAAUGAAGCAAGACAGCUUAUUCUAAAAGAAGAUGACACUGCUCGUGUUGAUACUCUGAAACUUGAUCUUUCCUCUAUUGCUUCUAUUAAAGAUUUUGCUCAGAACUUCAUUGCUCUUAAUCUUCCCCUCAACAUCUUAAUGUAAUUUUACUCGCCCCUCUUUCUCGAAAUAUUACAUAACUAUCUACUGAUGUUUCUGAGAAACAAUAAAAGCAUACUAUAACAUGCAAAAAUUAAUUUAAUGCAGAAACAAUGCUGGAAUCAUGUUCUGUCCCUACCAGAUUUCUGAAGAUGGAAUAGAGAUGCAAUUUGCAACAAAUCAUAUUGGUGAAUACUUUAAUUUGAAGCUGUAUUGGUUGUUAUUAAUUAACUAGCUAAAUUAGUAUUCAACUUUAAAUAUUACUUUUGCAGGGCAUUUUCUUUUAACAAAUUUGCUUCUGGACACAAUGAAUCGCACGGCUAAAGAAACGGGUAUUGAGGGCAGGAUAGUGAAUCUAUCAUCAAUAGCCCACCAAUACACAUACAAAGGUGGCAUUCGGUUUCAGAAGAUCAAUGACAGGGCCGGGUAUGUUUUGAUCAUAUAAUAAUAAUUAAUCAACUAAAAAUUUCUUCUCAUGUACGUCAUAAAUUUUGAUUCAGUUACUCUGACAAAAAGGCUUAUGGGCAAUCUAAAUUAGCUAACAUAUUACACGCCAAUGAGCUCUCGCGACGAUUUCAGGUAAUCGCAGUAAAUGAUUUGAUGAUCAUUUUUGUUUCCUGAGUUGGGCCCUGCUUGGUUUUGAAGUUGGGUUUGGAAGCUAAAAUAAUUUGAUCCAUCAAAGUUAUUAUUUAAAAGUCACAUUCACUACACACCAUUAACUUUUAUUUCACAGUUGUAGUUUUAUCUUAUAAGUUACAGUAUUUCAAUACCACUAGGAACUUAGUAGCCCAUGAAUAUCGUCACAUGAUAAUUUUACUAACUUGGUUACAGGAAGAGGGAGUGAAUAUCACAGCAAAUUCAGUUCAUCCGGGGCUAAUAAUGACGAAUCUUUUCAAGCAUUCUGCUGUUGUGAUGAGUAUGUUCUAUCAUAUAUAAUCCCAGAAAGUAAAAACAAGCAGCGUUAAGAUGUUUGUUUUCUUACUAUCUUUAUUUGUGCAGGAUUUUUGAAAUUUUUCUCAUUCUUCCUGUGGAAAAACGUACCUCAGGUACUUAAUUUCCUAAGAGCUCAUUGAAAUUUAUCAGCUGAUUAUUAACUAACUAACGUUACCUUUUGAAACUAAUGGCUCUAGGGGGCAGCCACAACGUGCUAUGUAGCUCUACAUCCAAAUCUGAAAGGCGUAACCGGAAAAUAUUUCCUGGACUGCAAUGAGAUGCCGCCAAGUGCACUUGCUAGAGAUGAAACGCUGGCAAAAAAACUGUGGGACUUCAGCAACAAAAUGAUUAACUCGGCUUCAAAAACCUCAGCAUAAGGUUAUUGCAAUACUACAGACUUACUACGAGUGAAAUUAGAGACUCAAGUGCUGGUUAAUUCUAAUGUUUAUAUAUGGAACCGAUUGAAAUGGAAGGGGGUGUCGUGUGAAUGAAUUGCUUAGUUAUGUAUGGAAGCAUAAGUGGCUUUGAGAAAUUGAUUGAUGUCAAUCGCAUAAACGUGUUGCUUGUAAUCGACGAUAGUCACAGUCCAUGUACCCACAUUUUGCUUCUCCUCUACGGUACCCAUAGCGUGUACUGAUAAUCAGAAAAGUCAAUAAAAUAAUUAUCUGACGGUGCAAGCAAAUACAGGCCGUCGGAAUGGCGUGGUCACGACGUUAAAUCAGCUUCUGUUUAUCAAAUCACUUAUUUUAUGAUUCCAGACAUACCCUUUAUAACGUAAAAUGCAAGUGUUUGAUUAUUUUGUAGCAACGUCCUAUUUCGUUAUAAUAAAAUCAAAUUCAUGUCGUAAGAAAUGAUGUAUCAUGUACAGGCUUCUUUUUUUCUUUUAUUUGUUUUCUUUCAACAAAAUUAAUUGUUUACGACGAAAUUGCACGUGGCUGCUAUCGAAGGUGGAAAUUAAAUUUAUAAAAAAAAAAAAAGAACCUAAAACUUACUCAUGAAAGAGUCAAGAGGAGUCGUCGUUCUCAAACAAGCCUAACGCUCGGACCGCCCAGGCGGACCCAGCCACGACAACGGCCGCAAAAACCGGAGGGACAAGCAAGUCAAUUUUGGAUCUCCUAAACAGGUGGGCCGGCAGGCAGAGUAUCUCUCCCGGCAGGUCCAACGGAACCCUGACGGCAACGGACGCAUCACCGGCAGCGCCCUCGCACUCUUUCGAAAAUGAAGAGGAGGGAGAUAUCGACCAGACAAACGUGACCUCUGGCCAAAACGACGCCGCGGCGACGGUUGCGGUCAGGAGAGCCGUCCACACGGCAGCGUAGAGGAAGAGGGGCCACCGUGAUGUGAUCUUGUGAAACAGGGAAGUAAAGAAAGAUAGAGACAUCGUCAUUUGUUGUCCAAUCCGAGAAAAACCAAAACGUUAAGGGGGGCGGCUUUAAAUGAAAAACAAAGGGGAGUGGAAGGGGACCUAAUCUUCAACUACUGGUUGAGUGAUAUAAUGUGGCUUGACCGAUGAGCCGUGGAAUGACGUGAGUGUCGUUGCUCACCUGCUAGUUGCUUCAACGACUCUAUGACCGGUAGCAGGGGGCAUUGGGACACGUGUCGUUUUUUAACAGUUGGCGUUUCAGAUAACUGUUAGGGGAGUUACAGCCUACGUGGUAGAUUGCAAAGAGUAAUGAAUCUAAUGAUAAACACACAUUGGAAAACUUUAGCUGGCAUGUAGUAAAUUAAUUUUUUAAUAAUCUUUAAGUAAAUUAAUUAUAUUAUUCCACCGUACAAUAAAUAUGGAGAGAAAAUUUUAAGAUAUAUACAACAAAUCAGAUUACAAAUUAACUAACGUUUUUAUAUGCAUUAAUUAAUGGACUAAUUACAAGCAUAUAAAUUUUAUGCUAGAUAAUGUACUAUAAAAUACAGAACUCUCUCUAAUGAGAUUGUUUCAAAAUUUAUCUGAUGUCAUUAUCAUUAUUUUAAUGAUUGGUAAAUAUAGCAACAUGGAUAAAAUAUAGGGCCAAUCUCAGAUAGCGGUGGUUGGUGAAAUAAACUAUUUUUACUGUACGGAUGAAAAAGACAAUCGAUUAAAAAAUUAAUUUAGUAUUUGAUAAGCUAUGGUGUUAUGAGUUUAAAAAAAACAAAGUACAUGUAUUUGGUAAGUUUUAUUCGAAAGAUUUGUUUUAUUAUAUAAUAACCAAAAUAAACAUAAGUUUAAAUUGCCUCUUAUUUUUCAGAGCAUGUUUAAUAAAUUGAGUCAAAAUGCCCUUUUUCUUUUUAAAACACAUAAAAUUAAUAAAGUGAAAAAACACAUAAAAUUACAUAAAGUGAAAAACUCAAUUAAAUAGAAUCUAAUGAAUUUCAUAAUUUAUUACAUAAAAUAUGAAAAAAAUCAUACUAAUACAAAAUCAAAAUAAAAUAUAAAGUAAUAUGCAUUACGUUCACCCUAAACUUGUCACAAUAAUAAUACUCAAAUUUUUAAUUUAAUAAGUUGCUUAUGAAAAGCAACUUUUUAUCUGUUUUUAAAAGUUGUUGUCAAAAUAAAGAAAAUCAUGAAAUAAGUAGUCUUUACAAAGUCUAUCAAAUACUAUUUGUUACAAAAAUUAUAAAAAAAACCGCUUAUUGAAUUUUAACCUUAAUCCCAAAUGGAGCUUAAUUACAUGAGAUUAUUGCUCAGAUUAUGACUCAUAUUACAUGAGAAUAAUGCUAAUAUAUUUAUAAUUAGAUAAUUACUAUGGCUAGUUUUACAUUAUUAAAUAUUAUAUAGUACUUCCAUAUCUUAACCUUCUUUAAUAUUCAAGAGACAUUUACUUCACUUACAUUUUUUUUUUAAAAAAAUUAUUUUCAUUUAGUUAUUUUCCAUAAUUGAGGAAUGAAUUAAACAUCGUGGGGCUCGAACAACUGAAUGGCUCUGCCGCACGAUAUAAAUUUUAAGCUCAAUCUCAAAUGGAACUUUAAUCUCAAUGAAAUGACGAUUUAUGAUUUGAAUUGAAGGGUCACAUGUGCAAUUAAUGUUGUUCCUUUUUUCUUUUUUUAAAUGUUAUGAUUGUAACGGUAGCUGCGAUACUAGAAAAAUGCCAAAUUACUCUUUGAAAUGAUACCGAAACACAACCGUUACAAAAAGACUCGUGAGUUCCUUUUCUAUGUUUUCAGAUAUUCUUUUCUUUUUUUAAUAUUCUGUUUUCCUAAUUCUGAAAAGGAAUUCAGGUGCAGUCCAGCCAGACUUCAGUUGAAACCUCAGGGAUAUUCGGGGACUUGAAUUUGAUGCCUACAAAAGGAAGAGAUAUUCACAUUGGUGAUUGGAGAAACAGGUUUCAGCUAGCCACUGCAAUUUGAUGAAAGCAUAUUUCCCAUAUGGAUGAUCAAAUCACCAUGGAUUUUCAAGCUGUAAUUUACUUGAUGAAAAUUUUACAGAAACCAGAUUUGUGAUUGAACUGAUUUUACACACAGAGCCAGAGAUACAACAGCACAGAAAAACAAACAAGGUAUCACAUGAAUUCUCACGGCAACAUUGAUUUCAUAAUUUCAUAUCGGCUUGCUAAAUUAUCACGAUCUGGAGGAGUAGAAUGCUUUCUCUACCUGAAUGGUAAGAAACAGAAUGCCAACCAAUGAGACACAGAUACCCACAACCAUAACAAUCAGCAUCGCCUGCAAUGAGAUAUAUGGACCGAUAAAGAAAACAACCGCAAUUGAAGCACACUGCCAGACCUUGAGCUGUGCAAAUGCUCCUUCCUGUUCCCAGAAGCAAUCUCUCUCAUAAUUAGAUAUUGAAAUCACAAUAACAAGAACUUAUAGGAGAGAUUACAAAUUAAAUAAAAAGAAAACAAUGACCUAAUUUAGGCUUCUUUUACUAAUCAGCAUAAAAACGAAUCAUGUAUAAACUUAUCCGUAAUCUGUUAAAUGAGGACGCCAACCAACAUAGUAGCUAAUUGGCUAAUUUAUAACACAAAAGAAAAGUCUCUCCUCCAUCUUGCAAGAAUUCUAGACCUAUAUACAAAGCAACCAUCUAAUACAGUAGGUGGAAUUUUCAUUUUUUUACAUUUUCUUUUCCUUUAUGAUUGGAUAUGGAAAAAUAUGAACCUAAUAGAAUAUGAUUUGCCAGGUAAAAUAAAAUAAGCAAGUUUGAUGCAGAAUAUUGCUGAUAUGACUAGUUUCAUCAUUGCCAUCGUAUCCUUGGGUGUUCCUGAAGAUUAUGAGGUAGACUGACUGACUAAAAGGAAAUUCAUAUUCAUAGUCACCUACCAAACAAGUAUUUGUCUUAUUAAAGUAGGAUUAGCUGUUACCGUAUCGUGCUUAAAGAGUAUCCCAAGCAAAGCACUAAGCUGUGUAUUGAGCACUCCAUCACCAAUGCCCAACAAAGCUGCCAUGAUAAGUGGAUAUAGAGUGCCAAGUACUCCACUAGUUACCCUAUAGGAAGACAGUGAAUCAAGGAGAUGGAAAAAUAUUAAUACAUUCAAGCUCACACUACUACAAAACAACCUUCAAGUUCUGAAAAACUUCAAUGUAACAGGAGUACACAACACAGUGUAACAGGAGUACACAACACUAACCUGUAAUUUAUCAGAAUCCAGAGAAAUACAACCACCUGAGCAAUAGCUCCACCAGAAACUAUAAAAGUGAUAGAUGGAAGACCAGUGGUAAGUCGACCAGCAGCAAGUGAACACUGAAAAAAGUGGCGAAACCAAGCAGAGACUGAAUCCAAUUAAUGGAUAUUUAUUUGCCAAAUUGACUCAAACAGAAAUGCAAACAGUACUUCAGCAUAAACAUUAAAUUACUUCCAAUAUACAGCAAAUGGAAGUAUGACAAUACUCAGCUUUACCGAAAACAGAAUCUUGGAACAAUUGCUUCGAGCAUCAAGGAGCUAUAUUUUGUGUUUAAAAUAUAUAUUCACAGUGAGUCAAUUGGUUGCAGGUAAAGGUUUGUGAUUGCAAGAGCACUCAAGACAUUGUUCUGAAGACACGAUGACCAAAACAAGAGCAUAUAGCACAGCGCAAGGCAUAAACAAUUGGCAAUGAGAAAAAGAUUCCUUUGGAACACAAAAAUUGCCAAGCUGUUCAUUGCAUGAAAUUGUGAAUUUCUGCAGUCUCAUACUUACUAUUGCAUCAAAAGCUCCAUAAACUGCCAUUGCACCACCUACACCAGAAACACCAAGUGCUGGAGUUACAAUCUCCUUUGUAAAUUCAGCCCUACAGAAGAAGACAUAGUGCGAUUAUUGGAGAAACUAAAUUAGAUAAUUGAACUAUAAAGAAUAAAAAUGUUAAUGAAAAGGCAAUACAAAGAACAGAUAUGAAGUUUAACUGAUUAUUACCAUACAAAUGCUUGUUGUAAUCCUGAAUAUGCAAAAAGGGGAAUGAUCAGUAGCAUCCGUACAUCAGCCAGAAGAGUGGUAAUUGACUUCGAUAAAGACACUAAGUACGAAUAGAAAUUUACAGAAGCAUCUGCUGUUUCCUUUUCUCCUUUAUCUUCCUCUUUACGUAAGAAGCACAUGAGUAUGGUGCCCAAUGUGAUAACGCCAAGAAACACAAUGAACAAUAAAGUGGUGCCACUGGUACUUCCACCCUGCAGUAUGUAAUGGAAAAUUAAUAGGAAGCAGUUUACAAAGGAAAUAAAAUAAGUUGCAAUGUCAGGCUUAAAAAGUUAAUCAUCUAGCAAAUUAUGUGCCAGAAUGUCUGUCUAAAUUAAACAUGUUCCUGAAUCAGUCUUGAUUGAGAAGGUCAGAUCUGUAACAAACAUCACAGCCGUACACAAUUAUGUUCAAAUGCUAACAUGAAUUUCCUCUAUGUUAAUCAGAAUAUCAUCUUCUUAUUGUCCAAAACCAAAAGCUUAACUAGAAGGGCAGCACAUGCCUUAUCGUCUUUGAGCACCGCAAGUGUGAUAAGAUUUCCAACAAACUGCCAAAAUUGGGAGGAAAAUGGUAUUCAACAUUAAGAACAGCGACGACAAAAUAAAAAAUCAUCAAUUAAAGAAAAUGCAUUUAGACUGAAAGAGCACCUGGUGGCUGGCAAACAUUCCCCAAAAUUCUCCAUUGAAGCUGCCAAUCACCGUUCCUUCAUGCAACUUGUGAUUGCUUGCAUGACUGAGUGCAGCGGAAGUGAGAUAUGUUCCCUAAUAGAUCAUAACAGAUUUCUAUCACUUUAGUUACUUCAUAGAAAAUUCCCAUUUGAGAAUAUUAUUAAAGAAGAGAAUCCAAAAACACCAUCCACACCUCUCCAACCCAUAUUAUAGAAGCAGCAAAUCCAAGAUACAACGAUGCCGGCACCAUAGUGUACCUUCAGAAAAAAUAAAUAAAUAAAUAAAGUUUUAGUGUUUUUUUUUUGGGGGGGACUGGGAAGUAAAAGUGAGUGUUUACUAAACUUAUUAGCUGGUGUGGUUUCAAAGUUAAGCAGAAGCACAACAGUUACGAACAUUGUCCUAAAUAACAUUUUAACUACUACAAAAUUUAAUCAAACGAUUAGGAUUCAUUGCUCGGUAGGGCAGAGGUCAGCUCAGUAUUAGAUCCAAAUUCUAAAUUGAAACAUAGACGUGAGGUGAGUGCACAGUACCACGAAGGGAACAAAUUGGCAGCCACGAAUAGCCAAUACCCAGUAGUCCCAAGGAUCAGAGCGUUCUUGGAACCCAACACUCGAACCACCAAUGAAGCAACUAGAGAGAAACACGUGAACGACGUGUACAAUAUCCCAAGCGAAAUCGUUCCCAAGUUCCCCUCCUGCAACAAAUAAAAAAUCAAUUUGUAAGCUCAAAAACUAGAAAGCGUCCAGGGGCAGGGGCAGGGGCAGCUACUCAACGGUAUUAACAGUAGUUUCUAAAUUCUGAGCAGCCCCAUAAGCGAGAAAAAUCAAAAGAAACGCGCAGCUGAGGAUGUGAACAUCACGCGUGUAGUUCUUUGGAGUAAGAACUUGCAAGCUAUCAGCAACAAGAGGUGCUUCUUCAUCGCGAGAAUCUACGGACUCCAUUUUUUUUCUUUUUUCCCCCCCUUUUUUUUCGCUUGGAGUUUCGAGAUCAAUCUGAUGGUGAAAUCGCUACAUAAUAUAUACGAGAAGCGAGUGAAGGUAGUACAAACGAGUGGGACCAAAAACACGGCGAGUGCCGGCUAGAAUCUUGUGUACUACAAGACAUGUAAAAGAGUUUUGGUUCAGAAAUUAAAUAAGUUCAUCGGAUUUUUAAAUGACUGAUUAAAUCGGUUCAGCGAUAAAAUAAGUUCAUCGGAUUUUUAAAUGUCGUUGUUUUUGAAAUUUGGAAGGAUUAUUUGGGAAUCAAACGGAGGGAGGGACGCUUUGAAAUAAUCGAAGCGUGGAAAGCCUUUUUAAGAGUAACAACCGACGGUUAAGAAAACGACGGCACAAUGGACGGUCGUUUUUUUAAUUUUUUAAAUGUAAAUAUUUAUAUUAAAAUAAAUUAUGAAUUAUUGUUUCUUUUGGUAGCCAUGAUAUUUUCUUGAAUCUCUUGAUUCUGGAAUCUGAUUUGGCCCUCGUUGAAACCAAGCGCUACGCAAUUGAUUCCUUUGAUAUAUAUAUAUAUUUUUGGUCAUUUUCAACGAUUUAUGGCCGUUCUAUGAUCAUAUAAUAAUAAUAAUAGUUUAAUUUCCAAGUUCGAAGUUAUUUUAUUUCAUUAUUUGGUGAAGGCCAACCUGACAAUGUUGACCCCAUAUAUAUAUAUAUAUUAUUUUUAUUUUAUUAUAUGUAUAUUUAACCACUAUAAAAUUUUAAUAUAAUAACAAGAAUACCUUUAAAAAUAUUUUAUCCUACAAAAUUUUUAAAAAUAAAAAAUUAUAAUAACAAGAAUACCUUUAAAUUUAAGAUAAAUAUAAAAAAUUCAUGAUGUUAAUUUUUAUAAUUAUAAUUUUUAAAUGAUAACUUUUGAAAUAAUUUUUUUAUUAAUCAAAGUUGGUUUAGACUAUUAUUACUUUGGUGAUUAAUUUAAACAAUGAAAAUCGAUUGAUAAUUGUAAUUGUAUGAUUGAUUAAAAAGAAAAAAAGAAAAAUAUUUGAGAUGAGUAUCACGCGUUUUUAAAGUCAAAAGGAUUAAAAAUAUAUAUAUAUAUAUAUUAUCAAUAAUUAAAUGGUACUCACACACCCAGUUUUUCAAGAUAUUUUAUCAACUAAUUAAAUGGUAGUUAUAAUUUUUUAUUUUCAAAAUUUUAUAGGAUAAAUACUUUUUAAUUCAUUUAAGAAUAAAAUGAUUAUUUUAUUUAGAUUAUUGGUGUUAAAGUAAUUAAUUGAUACAAGUUUAAAAACAAAAAUAAUGUAAAAAAUGUUAAAAUUUUAUGAUAAUUAAAUGUAUAUAUGAUAAAAUAGAAGUGGUAUAAAAAUAAUUUUCUAAAUGAAAAAUGUGAAUGAAUAUGAAUGAGUGCAUAUGAUGAGGGUAUCUCCUAUCAAAUUAUGUGGUUACAUUUUUUUUCCCCCAUUUUUUGAAGGGUCAAAUUAGUACAGACAUAAAUUUGACUUUUACUGAAAUAAAAUUUAAUUUAAAAAGAACAUGAUGCCUCCCUGAUUUCAGGAUUUUUUACCUAAUCAAGAAUGGUGAUUUAAAAGCUAUGAUUCAUGGUCAAGCCUGCCAAUUAUAUCAAUAAAUCUAAUAAGCCAAAUAGCCGAUCUUACAUUUCUAGAGAUUGGAAAAUUGACAUCAGUAACAGAAAUUGGAUACAGAAGUAAAUACCGUUCUGAGCUUAAAGCCAGAAAUAUAAACAACACCAACACUACCACGGUGUGCAGGUCAUGCCCCGAGCACCAAUUGAGCAAACUCAAAAUUUUUUUCAUUUCUUUCAUUAUGUCUGCUCUGCAUCAACAUCCCGAGAGUUCUCUUUGAGAAAACGUUCAAUACCAAACUUCAUAUAAGCAACGAGGGAGGAAAAUAUGUGGCUUCUGUCCAUUCCACUAGUAAGUCAGUCAACACUAAAAAUAUUUUGAUCUUGACCGGAAAGUUUUUCUGGGCAUCCGACUAUCCAAGAUGUCACCGAAAGUGGCCAAUGCAUCUUGAAACUUCCGGAUUUUGAGAAAUCCCCUUACCAUUGAAGUUUCUCGGUCUGAGAAUUUUGCUUUAUCCAUGACCAUAUCAAUAAGCUCAACCAAAGUUUCCUCCUUCCCUAAAGAAACAAGUCCUUCAGCCAACAUGUAGAAUGAUGAGAACUCUGGGAGAAAUCCUCUCCCUAACAUCUCUAUCACAAAAUCAACGGCUUCUCCAAUUGGUCCUCCACCAUUACAGAGCCCACGGAAAACAUGCUUGUAGGUAAGAGCAUCAGGAGGAUCAGCCUUCUCCAUCAUUUCUCGGAAAAGCCUCAUAGCUUCGGUUGUUCUUUUUCGUCUAAAGAGAGCUUGAAUCACAGGGUUAUAAGCUUGUGGAGUCAAAACAAUUCCUUUCAUCUGAAUUGACCUCAAGAGUUUACUUGCAACCUCAACUCUACCAGCCUUACACAGCCCCCCAAUUAAGGUUCCAUACGUAACAAUAUCUGGUUCACACCCAUUUGAAGUCAUAUUUUGGACAAUAUCUGCAGCCCUUUUUAUGUCGCCCGCCCGACAGUAGUAGGUAAGAAGGGAAUUGUAGGUAAAUUUAUCAGGUUUUAACCCUUCCAUUAUCAUCUGGUCCAUAAGCUGAGCAGCAUCUUCCACCCUCCUGCUCUUACAAAGACCAUCGAUAAGGGUGUUGUAGGUCACAGAAUUUCGUGAAAUCCCUUGGAUUUCCAUCUCAUCAAAGAUCUCCUCUGCUUCUUCAAUUCUUUUGAGUUUGCAAAACCCAUCAAUCAAAGUAUUAUAUGUCACCACAUUCCUUGCGCAGCCACUUGAUUCCAUUUCUUUUAACAGUUUUAGAGCUUCCUCCAGCAUCCCUCUAGAACAAAGGCUGUCUAUCAACAUAUUGUAAGUAAAUUCAUCAGGUUGGCACCCUUUAGUCUUCAUCUCCUGAAACAAUUCCAUUGCUAAAUCAAAAUUACUAGUCAAGCAGAGACCUUGUAUCAGAGAAUUGAAUGUACAAACAUCAGGCAAAAUUCCCUUGCUUGUGAGGACACGAGCAAGUUCCGUAGCUUCUUCAACUUGGUUCUCCUUGCACAAGGUGCUAAUCAGAGUAUUAUAAGUAAUGGUAUUAGGCGAACAAUCCCUCAAAAUCAUCUGAUUGAGAAUCUCCACAGCCUCCUCAACUUCACCCAAUUUACACAAUCCAGAAAUCAAAGAAUUAUAUGUAAAAACAUCAGGAUCAAACCCCUCUUGAAGCAUCAUGUCCAUGACCUCCAACGCUUGCUUGACAUGUCCCACUUUGCAUAAACCAUUCACCAAAGUAUUGUACGUAAACUGAUCAGGAUUAAAUCCUUCACUCACCAUCUCUUGUAUAAAACUUAACGCAUCCUCAAUCCUUCCCUCUUUACAAAACCCAUGAACUAAAACAUUAACAGUCACAUUAGUAACCAGGCAUCCGUGCUCCACCAUUUGCUCUCUAAUCCUCAACGCACCAUCCAAGUUACCUUCCUCAAUCAACCCUUGCAUUAACGUCGUAAACGUUCUCUCAUCUGGGGCCAAACCAUAGCCAGGCAUCUCUUCCAUCAUCAAAAUAGCAGGCCUAAUUUGAUGAGCCUUACAUAAAGCCUUAAUCAAUAUAUUAAAUGUAGAAACAUCAGGCUUAAUCCCUCUACUAACCAUAUCAGCAUGAGCAGUUUCAACUAGUUUUAACUUAUUCCCAUCAACAAGAACAUUCAACAAGUGAUUAUAAAAGUGGGUGUUGGGUUCCAAUCCAAAAUCGUCCUUCAUCAACUGGGUUACUUCUAAAAUCUCAUUGUACAUGUCAAAUUUAGCAUAACUUUCUACGAAAAUCAAGAAAGUACCUGUACGAAUUUGACAGCCGGAGAGUUUCAUAUCUUCUAAAAUGCGUCUCAUGGAAUCAAAAGCGCCGACCUUUCCGAGUUUGGUCAGUAGUUCUUCGUAGAGAGAGGAAUUGGGUGCGAAAUUGGGCUGCUUAGAGGCCCAAGUGAACAAGCGGAGUGCUGAGGACUCGUCGCGUUGGCGACGGAGAGCGUCGAGGAGUUGAGUUGAAGUGAAAUUGGAAGGGAGUUGACGAGAGAAAGUGGAAGAUGAAGAUGAUAGUGAGGUGAGUUGCUGAUGGUCAUGGUGUUGUGUGGAGGCAAAAGAAAUGGUGGUGGGUUUGGAAGAUAAAGGGAGGAGGGAUUGUCGUGGGAGAGGCCAAGGGUGACUCUUGAGACACGAAGAGAGUGACAUUUCAGGGGAUUUGACGGAGAUUGAACAUGAAAAUUUGGAAAAGAAAGUUUCUUUCUUUCAGGAAUGAGCUAGUGAGCUGCAGCUGGAGUGAAAACAACUGGAUUUUCCUUUUUCUUUUUUUCUUUUUUUUUUUUUUCCCUUGAAGGUCGUUUCGUUUCCGGGCGGUUUUCUGCCAAUUGCAUAAACCAACCCUGAAUCCUUAACUUAGGCGGCUGAGGAGAUGCCAACGACGUCGUUAGCAGUGUUUUAAAAGCCUACCAACCAAAACGCUACGUUUGUUUCCAGGGGCGAUGGUUUAACUAUUUUGGACAGUUUAAUCUUCGGGGCCCAAUAUUUGGGUCCAACUAACCCCUGCAUCCACUGUGAGUUAUUGGGCCCUUACCCAACCCAAUGUUAAACAUUUUCACAUCUUCUUGAGGUUCCCCCCGGAGUCACACCCUGUGUCCCUGUCUGAAAUUAUAGUACGGUAGAAUUUUAAUAAAUUAAAGCUCAAUAAAUUGAUAAUCUCGAUAUAAAUAAUAAUUUUAUCGAUCCCAAGCUAAUAUGGUAAUUAAUAAUUUGAUAAAUUUAUUAUAUAAUAAAAUUUUAAAAAAUUUUUUAUUUUUCUAUAAGACCCAACUAAUAUAAAAAUUAAUAACGAAUUAAUUUAAAAAUAAAUACGUAUGAUAUGUUUAUGAUUUUCUUUGUUAUAAUGACAUAAUGCUUCACAUAUUUCAUUGGUUAUUGUUAUAUUCUAUGUGCUACAUUGGUUAUUGUUGUAUUCUAUAUGCCAUGUUAAGAAAAAUAAGAGAGAGAUUAGUUAAUAUGUCACCUCCAAAUAGUCUUCUCCGAUGAGUUACUGAAUAAUUGCUAUCCAGCCAUGCAAUUGUUAGCCUAUAUGGCUAUAAAUAUUGAUUUUGAUGAUAACAAACCACAUGUAUUUAUUAAGUGAAGAUUUAUGAAUUGUGCUUUUAUAAUAAGAAAAUGAUGUUAUGGAAUUAAAGCAUUUUGGAUUAAAAUGAAAGUAAUUUCAAAAUCUUUGAUAGUGUUUAAAUUUCGGAUUUGGACCUAUUUGAAACUAUUUAAAUGUUUUUGGGUCAUUCUAUAAUUUCACAAAGUUUGGGAGAAAUCAUAAUUUCAGAAAGUUUUGGGAUUAACGAAGCAUUACUUAGAAGUUCUGAAAUUGGACUUAUUUGCAAAGUUUCAUAACAUUUUGGGUCAUACUAUAGUUUUAUAAAGUUUUAGGGUCAAACUGAAAAUUUGAGAAAUAUUUCACUGUAGUAGGUUACUGUAGCAAGCGGCUAUCCGGAUUUUGAAAACCGGAAAUCCGGAUACGGGCAGUAAGCGUCCAGAACGAAAACAGCUUAUCGGAUUCCGUAACCGGCAAGCCGGAUAGGCAAAAUUCAAAUUUUUGCCUUAACGGUAACAUAAAUUCGGCUUACCGGAUUCCAUAAACGGUAAACCGGAUACGCCUGGAAUGUGAGUAACGACUAGUUUUUGAGCUCAAACUAUAAGAACUCAAAUCCAACUCAUUUUGAAGCUCUCCAACAAGUAAAAACAAAAAGCACACGAGAUAUCUUGAGCCUUCAAACUUGCAAACUACAUACAUUGAAUCAUUCAUUGUUCUUCAUCUUUGAAUAUCUACUCAUUGAGUGAGUUUCAUUGUAACUUUCAUUUCUUCAUUUCAAUUGUAAGAAUUUGAGUGUGUGAGACACUUGAGUGAAGAGAUUGGGAGAUAAUUUCUUCGUUGUAAAGGUUUAUUGACACCUUGAAGUCAAUUGUAAUCGGUUGAAGUCUCGAAAAGGCUUGGAUAGUGAAAUCCUCAAGCUUGGAUUGCUUGGAGGCGUGGACGUAGGCGGAGAUUACCGAACCACGUAAAAAUCCAUGUGUUUGUUUCUCUUCUCCUUUACUCUUUAAUUAUUGUGCCUUUAUUAAACUUAUUACUUUCAAUUUUUAUUAAGGCAUUAGAUUGUUUGUUGUGUGGAUUUGCUAGGAUAAUUUUUAAAUUUCCAAUUCACCCCCCCUCUUAGGUUGCACGCUUAUAUUUCAUUUGGUAUCAGAGCAAGGUGCUCUUAUUUAGAUUUAACAAUCUAGAGCUAAAGAUCAAUGGCAACUCAAAAUGAUUCCACAUUUAGGGAAGGGCAGUCCACUACUAAACCACCUUACUUUGAUGGAAACGAUUACCCAUAUUGGAAAACUAGGAUGAGAAUUUACUUGUAAGCCUUAGAUUAUGAGAUUUGAGAAAUCGUUAAUGAUGGUCCUUUCAUGCCUUUGACUAAAAAUGAAGUAGAAGAAGAUAUUCCAAAACCUUCACGGGAUUGGAAUGAUUUCGAAAAGAGAAAAGCUUCUCUAAAUUCCAAGGCUAUGAAUACCUUGUUUUGUGCUUUAGAUAAGAAAGAGUUUCAUAGAGUGUCUAGUUGCGAAAGUGCUAAUGAGAUUUGGCACAAACUUGAGGUUGUCUAUGAAGGCACGAACCAAGUGAAAGAAUCUAAAAUAAGUAGGUACACUCGACAAUACGAAUUGUUCUAAAUGAACAAAAUGAAAAUGUGUACUCUAUGUAUACUAGAUUCACGGACAUAGUGAACACUCUAGGAGCCCUAGGAAAGACUUUUUCAAAUAGCGAAAAAGUCAAGAAAAUCAUUAGGUCACUACCUAAGGAAUGGAGACAAAAAAGGACUGCCAUUGAGGAAGCCAAUGAUUUAAAUAUAUUACCUAUUGAUGAUUUAAUUGGCUCUCUUAUUUCAUAUGAAGAAGAUUUGGCAGCUGAAAAAGUGCAUGAGGAAAAGAAGAAAAACAUUGCUCUGAAGGCUUCAAAACAUGAGAGUGAUGAGGAAAGCGAAAUAAAUGAUGAGGAGCUGGCUAUGUUGGCUAGAAGAUUCAGAAAAUUUUACAAAAAGAACAAUGAGUAGAGAAAGUUCAGAGGCUACAAGAAUAAGAAGGAAUAGAAUGAGCCAAUCAUUUGUUAUGAAUGCAAGAAGCCCGGACACAUACGACCGGAAUGUCCUCUUCUCAACAAAUUCAAGAAAAAGGCUAUGGUGGCCACAUGGGAUGAUAGUGAUGAGGAAACAAGUGACGAUGAUGAGCAAUAAGAAAUGACAAACUUAGCUCUUAUGGCUAUUGGGAAAGAAUCAUGUGAUGAACUUGAUGAGGUAAGUGUUCUUCCUACAUAUGAUGAAUUGCAUGAUGCUUUUAAGGAUUUCCAUGAUGAGCUAAUGAAGAUUGGUAAAAAGAAUAUAUGUCUUAAAAAGAAGAUGAUAGAGCUUAAGAAUGAAAAUGAUUCAUUUAGUGCAAAGAUUACAUGCCUAGAAUUAUAAAAUAAAACAUUGCGUGAUAGUAUUGCAUUAUUUGAGAAUUCUAGCACCUCACAUGAGCACUUAGAGUCACACAUGAAUGACUUGAAAAAUGAGAAUGAAAUGCUUAGAAAGAAGAGCAAUGAACUAAAUGAAAUUGUGCUAAAAUUCACAAAUGGGCAAAAGAUGUUGGACAAUUUGCUAAACUCACAAAAGUGUAUAUUUGACAAAAGUGGCAUAGGUUAUAAACCGAAUUUGAAACAAAAAUUUUACAAGAGUUAUUUUAUGAAGAAUACAUUUAUUAACAGUAAAAUUGUAUGUCAUUAUUGCAAUCAAGAUGGCCAUAUGAAAAAUAGAUGUGCAGUGAAGAGAAAUGCAUAUUAUGGUAUGAAAUGUGUUUGGGUUCCGAAAGGAACCCUUGCUAACUCUCAAGGACCCAAAAAGGUUUGAGUACCUAAAACUUGAGAUUUUUUCUACAGGGCUCAAAAAAGAAGAAGAAUAAGUUGUACUUAGUCAGCGGUUGUUCAAGACACAUGAUAGGGAAUUAUUCUUGGUUUUCAAGCUUUACUAAGAUCGAAAAUGGUGGAGAUGUUUCAUUUGGGGAUAAUUCAAAAGGAAAAAUCAUUGGGAUUGGAAAUGUAGGUAAUGUAUCCUCUACUCUCAUUGAAAAUAUGUGUUUGGUUGAAAACUUGAAACACAAUUUGCCUAGUAUUAGUCAAUUAUGUGAUAAAAGAUAUAGAGUUAUUUUUUAUGAAUCAAAGUGUGUUAUUGAGAAUGCAUGUGAUGGGAAAGUCUUGUUUGUAGGAAAUAGAUGUGUUAAUGUUUAUACCAUUAAUAUAGAUUGUGCAUCAACAAAUAAGAAAUGUCUCUCCGCAUUGCAUAAUGAUGGUUGGUUGUGGCAUAGAAGAUUAGGUCAUGCAAGCAUGGAUUUAAUUUCAAAAUCGUGAAAAAUGAUUUAGUAAAAGGUCUUCCAAAAAUCAAUUUUAAAAAAGAUAGAACUUGUGAAGCAUGCCAAUUUGGAAAACAAAUCAAAACUUCCUUUAAAAGCAAGAAUCGUGUCUCCACUUCAAAACCACUUCAAUUGCUUCAUAUAAAUUUAUUUGGACCUUCUAGAUAUGCUAGUUUAAGUUGCAAAUUUUAUGCAUUUGUAAUUGUGGAUGAUUAUUCUAGAUACACAUGGGUAUUGUUCUUGGCUAAUAAGGAUGAUGCCAUUGAUGCAUUUUGAAUUUUCUAUAAAAAGGUUCAAAAUGAAAAAAGUUAUUAUAUUUCUUGUAUUAGAAGUGAUCAUGGUGGAGAAUUUAAAAAUCAUGCAUUUGAAAAUUUUUGUAAUGAUUUUGGCAUUGAACAUUAAUUUUCAUCACCUAGGACUCCACAACAAAAUGUAGUAGAGAGAAAGAAUAGGUCUAUUCAAGAAAUGGCUAGGACCAUGUUGAAUGAAAACUCUUUGCCUAAGUAUUUUUUGGCUGAAGCCGUCAACACCGCUUGUUAUGUUUUAAAUCGGGUGUUGAUUAGACCUAAUCUUAAUAAAACUCCAUAUGAGCUUUGGAAAGAUAGAAAACCCAACAUUGGUUAUUUUAAAGUUUUUUGAUGCAAAUGUUUUGUUUUGAACACAAAAGAUAAUCUUGGUAAAUUUGAUCCAAAAUCUGAUGUUGGCAUUUUUCUUGGUUAUUCAAAUUCAAACAAAGCUUAUAGAGUUUAUAAUAAAAAAAACUUUAGUUGUGGAAGAAUCUAUGCAUGUUACAUUUGAUGAGUCUAACCCCUCCUCUACGGAGAAAGUUGUUGUUGAUGAUAAUGCAGAAGAAGAACAACAAGAAGAAGCAUUGAAUGACAACCAAGAAGAUGCGCCCCGUGGAAUUGAAGAGGAACAUCAUGAAGAAACAAAUGCAGUGCAAAAUGAAGGUACUUCACAAACACUCCCCAAGGAGUGGAGGUAUAUAUCCUCUCACCCUAAAGAUGUAAUUUUAGAAGAUCCCUCAUGAGGUGUUACCACUAGGUCAUCCCUUAGAAACACAUGUGAGCAUGCUGCAUUUAUUUCUCAAAUUAAACCAAAAUCCUUUGCGGAUGCAGAAAACGAUAAAUCUUGGAUUAUGGCAAUGCAAGAGGAGUUGAAUCAAUUUGAGAGAAACAAUAUGUGGGAGUUAGUUCCUAAUCCGGAACAUCAAUCCAUUAUAGGUACUAAAUGGGUAUUUAGAAACAAAAUGGAUGAAUCCGGUGUGGUUGUAAAAAAUAAAGCUAGAUUAGUGGCUCAAUGUUACAACCAAGAGUGGAGGUAUGUAUCCUCUCACCCUAAGGAUGUAAUUUUAGGAGAUCUCUCACGAGGUGUUACCACUAGGUCAUCCCUUAGAAACACAUGUGAGCAUGCUGCAUUUAUUUAUCAAAUUGAAGCAAAAUCCUUAGCGGAUGUGGAAAACGAUGAAUCUUAGAUUAUGGCAGUGCAAGAGGAGUUGAAUCAAUUUGAGAGAAACAAUGUGUGGGAGUUAGUUCCUAAUCCGGAACAUCAAUCCAUUAUAGGUACUAAAUUGGUAUUUAGAAACAAAAUGGAUGAAUCCGGUGUGGUUGUAAAAAAUAAAGCUAGGUUAGUGGCUUAAGGUUACAACCAAGAAGAAUGAAUUGAUUUUUAUGAAACUUUUGCACUUGUAGUAAGGUUAGAAUCCAUUAGGAUGUUGUUAGCAUAUGCAUGUCAUAAGGAUUUUAUUUUAUAUCAAAUGGAUGUCAAGAGUGCUUUCUUAAAUGGAUAUAUUAUGGAGGAAGUCUAUGUGAAACAACCUCAUAGUUUUGAAAAUGAAAAAUUUUCAGAUCAUAUGUAUAAGUUAUCCAAGCCUUUGUAUGGUUUAAAACAAGCACCUAGAGCUUGGUAUGAUAGGCUUAAAAAUUUCUUGUUAGAUAACGAUUUUUCAAUGGGAAAAGUGGACACUACUCUUUUUGUUAAGCAUAAGAACCAAGACAUACUUAUUGUUCAAAUUUAUGUUGAUGACAUUAUUUUUGGUUCUACUAAUGAGUUGUUGUGUAACGAUUUUUUAUCAUGUAUGAGCCAAGAAUUUGAGAUGAGUAUGAUGGGAGAGUUGAAUUACUUCCUUGGACUUCAAAUCAAACAAAAUGAGGAAGGAAUUUUCAUAAACCAAGCCAAGUACGUGAAAGAUCCACUCAAAAGAUUUGGCUAUGAUAAUGGAAUGGCAAAAAGCACUCCUAUGAGUACUACUAUCAAGCUGGACAAAGAUGAGAAAGGUAAGGAAGUUGAUAUCAAGACAUAUCGAGGUAUGAUCAGAUCCUUACUCUACUUGACUGCUAGUAGGCCUGAUAUUAUGUUUAGUGUUUACUUGUGUGCUAGAUUUCAAUCUUGUCCUAAAGAGUCUCACAUGCUUGCUGUCAAACGCAUUUUUCGAUAUUUAAUUGGCACUAUUAAUCUUGGCCUUUGGUAUCCUAAAGGAAUUCAUAUUGAUUUAACUUGUUAUUCGGAUGCCAAUUUUGCUGGGUAUAAGGUUGAUAGAAAAAGUACUAGUGGAACAUGUCACUUCCUAAGCCAUUCUCUUGUCUCUUGGUUUAGUAAGAAACAAAACUCGGUUGCGCUUUCAACCACCGAGGUAGAAUAUAUUGCCGCAGGUAGUUGUUGUGCACAAAUUCUAUGGAUGAAACAAACUCUUAGAGAUUAUGGUAUUAAGCUUGAUCAAAUUCAUAUCUUAUGUGACAAUACUAGUGCUAUAAAUCUCUAUAAGAAUCCUAUUCAACAUUCUAGGACUAAGCAUAUAGAAAUUAGACAUCAUUUCCUUAGAGAUUUUGUUCAAAAAGGAGAUGUGGUAAUUAAAUUUGUUUCCACUGAAAAAUCAACUUGCGGAUAUAUUUACAAAACCUCUUAGCGAAGAGCAUUUUAUAAAGAUAAGACAUGAGCUUGGAAUGAUGAAUAUUGAAUCUUAAUUCAUGUUUUACUACAUGGCUUGAUAUGUUUGUUAUCAUAUGGAUUUAUGCUUUAUGAAUUAGACAACUUGAUAUGCUUGUAAAUUUAUGAUUUUAUGAUUUGUUUUUCAUGUAUUAAAUGACUUUAUUGAAAAAUUUUAAGUCUCAAAAUGAUUUAAAAUUAAUCAAUUUUUAAGGCCGGAAAUGAAAUAGUGUGUGUAGUACAAGUAUAAGAGCUAGUAAAUAUUCCAUUUCCAUUCAUCUGGAAAAACAUUUUUUUUUAUUGAUCUCUCUCGGGACAAAUUUCGGAUAACCGGAUUCUCAAUCCGAAAAAUCGAAUUAGCUUUGGUUGCUCUCGAGACAAUAUUCGGACAACCGGAUUUGCUAAGCUUCAUCUCUGCCUCAUAACUGGUCUACAGGAUCUUCAAUCUGGAAAACCGAAUUUGGAAGCCAACUCUCUGCCUCACAACCGGUCUACCGGUUAGCAAAACCGGAAAGCCGAAUUCGCGUGCAUGCUUUCUGGAACAACACCGGAUUUCCGGUUCAAGACAAUCCGGAAAACCGGAUUUUUGGAGGCUCUCGAAACCGGCCAGUCGGUUAAGGAAACCGGCAAGCCGAAUUGCCUCUUGCGGCUCUCGGGUCUAUAUCCGGUUUACCAGAUUUCAAAUUCGGAAAGCCGGUUUCGGAUUUCUCCAAUUCUACUCGCUAACCGGCUUACCGGUUAGAAAAUCCAGCAAGCCGGAUACGUGACCCUUUUAAGUUGUUCAUCCUCUUCCUCAUGCAUUCGGAAAACCAGUUCUUUAUCUCUCUAAAAACCAUUCUCAUUCUCUCUCUUUUUCACUCCAAAAUCCUUCAUUUUCUAUCCUUUUCACAUCAAAUUGAAUCUAAAAAAUCAUUCUCCAUCUCAUUAAGAACUCAAAACCAUCCUUGGAAUUCAUUUUGAACAUCUAAAUCUUUAGAUCCCAUUUUUAACCUAAGUUUUGAGCCAUUUUUUUCUCUCUCUAGAUUUCUCUCUCUCAAGUCGUUUUUGAUCCAAUUUUCUUCUCCAAAUCACUCUCAAUCUUCAUCAUCAUCAUUCUCCUUAUCCUUUUUAACUCAAAAUCAACCAAAUCUAAAUGUCAAGCUCUCGGUCGGUUUGAAGAAAAGGCAAAGAACCGGUUCAACCAUCCACACGGCCACGAGAAGCAAGGGGCACCUCCAGUCAAUCCACCUUUAAGUCCAUUCAUUUUCAGAACAAGCAACACUUGAUCAAAAGGUUCCAACAAAACUUUCGGACUUGUAAAGUACUCAACACUUUCUUUAUUUUACCGGAUGUUUUGCAUACUCUCCAGAUUAGUCAUAGAAAUCUAUUUCAAUUGUUGGGAGAUGUUGGUUGGAUUGAUGCAUUGUUGAUUGAGGAGAAUGUGUAUCCCGACUUGGUGAAAGUAUUUUACUCGAAUAUGGAUUGUUCCGCGGAGAAAGAAAAUCGAGUAAUCACCACAGUUGGAGGAGUUUUGAUUGAAUUUGAUGAUUCGGAGUUGAACUCCAUCCUAGGAUCUUCCGAUGAUGGACUGGACAUUUUUUCUCUUAGGAAACCUCCUGAUAUUGAUGACUAUGUUCAUGUUGAUGCCAUUCGUAAUAUUUAUCGGUGUAAUGAUCUUUCUGUUAAAGACUGUACCAUUCAUUUCCGUACUCAGUGUCUUUGUCUUCAAACUUAUUUUUUACUUCGUACCAUCCGGUCCAUUGUACUUCUUAGAUCAGGACAUUUGGAUGAGGUUUCUCAUAUGGAUGUGGCCAUGAUUGACUGUAUUCUUAGAGGUCGCCCGGUUGACUUGGGCUAUUCAAUUAUCCGCACCAUGUUGAGCAUUCCUGCCUUGAUUACCCGCUCUCUUCCUUAUGGUCACUUUAUUACCCGAAUUCUUAAAUUCUUUGAAGUGCCGAUUCUAGAACUAUCUUGUAGGCCGUCCAAGGGUAUUGGGGAUGAGGUUAUUGUUGGAUUAGGCUUUGAGUGGAAGGAUGGCACUUGGGUCAAAUACAACGAUAACAAGUUUACCUUUCUAGCCCCAAGUGAUGAUCGGCCACUUAAUGCUGUGAUUCCAACUGAUCAGCUUCCAGUAUUCUCACUCUCUUUUCGAGGGCAACGUAGACGCCAAGUUUCUUCUACGGUUGCUUCGGCUCCUAGUGCAUCUGCAUCCGUUUCAUCACCUCCACGGCCUCCUAUCUCUGGAGAUGUUACUCUUCAGCAGCUUAUGGAUGAGGUGCGGAUACUUUCGGUGCGGCAGACUGAGCUUCAGCAGGAGCAGCAGCAGCAGUAGCUCAUUCAUGGACAACGCCUCCUCUUUUAGCACUUCGGCAUUCCAUAUUCGUUUCCACCUCCGUCACCUCCAUCCUCACCACCUGAGUAGUAUCUUAUGCUUGUACUUGGACACACAUACAUUUCAUUUACUGCAUUGUGUGUUCUUUUAUUUUCAACUCUAUGGAUGGUUAUUAUGCUUUUUGGUUUAUGCAUUUGUUUUGGAUGAUAUGGAUUUGUUGUGACUAUUUAUGUUGGAUGUUAUGGAUUUGUUUUGAUUGAUCAUUAUGGAUUAUAUGGAUUUUCUUAUGCUUAUGGAUAUUUUUUUUACUAAUGUGCUUAUGUUGCGAUUUUGAUGAUUGAUAGGGGGAGCCUUUAUUCUUUUUGAUAAUGAAGGGGGAGAAUGAUUUAAUAUGUGUUAUGAAAAUAUGCAUGUAUUUAGGGGGAACAUGUAUGCAGGGGGAGUUUUUGUUAAACAAUUUUCAAAUCAUUUUUUUUAACUUGCAUUGAUUAAGGGGGAGCUUUUUCAUAACAAGAUUAAAGUUUUUAAUGUGUUUUGUCAUCAUAAAAAAUGAGGAGAUUGUUAGCCUAUAUGGCUAUAAAUAUUGAUUUUGAUGAUAACAAACCACAUGUAUUUAUUAAGUAAAGAUUUAUGAAUUGUGCUUUUAUAAUAAGAAAAUGAUGUUAUGGAAUUAAAGCAUUUUGGACUAAAAUGAAAGUAAUUUCAAAAUCUUUGAUAGUGUUUUAAAUUUCGGAUUUGGACCUAUUUGAAACUAUUUAAAUAUUUUUGGGUCAUUCUAUAAUUUCACAAAGUUUAGGCAAAAUCAUAAUUUUAAAAAGUUUUGGGAUUAACGAAGCAUUACUUAGAAAUUCUGAAAUUGGACUUAUUUGUAAAGUUUCAUAACGUUUUGGGCCAUACUACAGUUUUAUAAAGUUUUGGGGUCAAACUAAAAAUUUGAGAAAUAUUUCAUUGUAGCAGGUUACUGUAGCAAGCGGCUAUCCGGAUUCUGAAAACUGAAAAUCUGGAUACGGGCAGUAAGCAUCCAGAACGCAAACGGCUUACCGGAUUCCGUAACCGGCAAGCCGGAUAGGCAAAAUUCAAAUUUUUGCCUUAACGGUAACAUAAAUCCGGCCUAUCGGAUUUCAUAAACGGCAAACCGAAUACGCCUGGAACGUGAGUAACAGCUAGUUUUUGAGCUCAAACUAUAAGAACUCAAAUCCAACUCAUUUUGAAGCUCUCCAACAAGCAAAAACAAAAAGCACACGAGAUAUCUUGAGCCUUCAAACUUGCAAACUACAUACAUUGAAUCAUUCAUUGUUCUUCAUCUUUGAAUAUCUACUAAUUGAGUGAGUUUUAUUGUAACUUUCAUUUCUUUAUUUCAAUUGUAAGAAUUUGAGUGUGUGAGACACUUGAGUGAAGAGAUUAGGAGAAAUCAUAAUUUGGGCGAAAUCAUAAUUUCAAAAAGUUUUGGGAUUAACGAAGCAUUACUUAGAAAUUCUGAAAUUGGACUUAUUUAUAAAGUUUCAUAACGUUUUGGGCCAUACUAUAAUUUUAUAAAGUUUUGGGGUCAAAUUGAAAAUUUGAGAAAUAUUUCAUUGUAGCAGGUUACUGUAGCAAGCGGCUAUCCGGAUUCUGAAAACUGAAAAUCCGGAUACGGGCAGUAAGCGUUUAGAACGAAAACGGCUUAUUGGAUUCCGUAACCUGCAAGCCGGAUAGGCAAAAUUCAAAUUUUUGCCUUAACGGUAACAUAAAUCCGGCUUACCGGAUUCCAUAAACGGCAAAUCGAAUACGCCUGGAACGUGAGUAACAGCUAGUUUUUGAACUCAAAUCCAACUCAAUUUGAAGCUCUCCAACAAGCAAAAACAAAAAGCACACGAGAUAUCUUGAGCCUUCAAACUUGCAAACUACAUACAUUGAAUCAUUCAUUGUUCUUCAUCUUUGAAUAUCUACUCAUUGAGUAAGUUUUAUUGUAACUUUCAUUUCUUUAUUUCAAUUGUAAGAAUUGGAGUGUGUGAGACACUUGAGUGAAGAGAUUGGGAGAUAAUUUGUUCGUUGUAAAGGUUUAUUGACACCUCAAAGUCAAUUGUAAUCGGUUGAAGCCUCGGAAAGGCUUGAAUAGUGAAAUCCUCAAGCUUGGAUUGCUUGGAGGCGUGGACGUAGGCGGGGAUUGCCGAACCACGUAAAAAUCUGUGUGUUUGUUUCUCUUCUCUCUUACUCUUUAAUUAUUGUGCCUUUAUUAAACUUAUUGCUUUCAAUUUUUAUUAAGACAUUAGAUUGUUUGUGUGUGGAUUUGCUAAAAUAAUUUUUAAAUUUCCAAUUCACCCCCCCUCUUGGGUUGCACACUUAUAUUUCAGCAAUCUAGUGAAAAGAAUAUCAUAUGAUUGUUUCUUUCAAUUAAGAUAAAAUCAAAAUCAUAUCAUAUAGUUUGACAGAAUCACUGUAUUAUUUAAUUAUACUAUCAUACUUGAUAAAAGCUUAUAUUAUGAGCCUGAUAUUAUCUUUAAAUAUUAAAAUAUUAUUAAUUUAUCGAUAUAUUAAUAUUUACUCAAUUUAUGAGGUUAUAAUGUAUUUAUACUUUUCUCGUAUCAUAUCCCGCAAAAUCUAAAAAAAGUAUCUUAAGAGUAAUUGUAGAAAUCGCACUAAAUUAUUUAUUAAUCACAUCGGUUGUCACAUAAAUUGAAAUUCAAGAGUUUAGACUCCGCAUAAGAGUUAAGACUUAAAUACUGAGACCCUAACAUAUUACUGGAAUGAAUUAUUAUCGAUAGACCUAUGAGUCAACAUAAUCUUAUCAAAUAGACAACUAGAAUGUUGAGGAAACGAAGUACAUAGAAAUCGAAAUGCGUAGUUAUAAUUAAUUAACCAGCCAUAACUUCGGGAACCAACGAAUAUGUAUUGGAAGGCCGCGGGAGAUUAACAAAAGUUCGCUUCCCACACCGUGCUAGAAUAAACAUAGUACUUUCCUUUUCCAAUGCACCAAACAUUAAGCAGUUAGCAAACGUUGCAUUGAAUGUGCAUUUGCUUGUAUUUACUUGCAAAAGUUUUGCUCUUAUCAAUAACACCUAGAUUGCAUUGUGCACAUGAUACUCAUGUCUGUAAAUUAGCUGUAACGAAUUGGUACGAACUUAUGAGCCUUCAGCACUAGAGAAAUUUUAGAAUAUAUCAAAAAUAUCUUGCUGAUAACUCUAUAAAAUGAGAGUUAUCCUGACACUAUUAGACUUAAAUCAAGAUUACUUAGAGAGUAAGUGAUAUUUUUUUAAUUGCAUUUUAGUUAUAUUUAGCAUGAAUAUCCAUUUUAGUUUAUUUUUAAUAAAUUACGUUGUUUUAUAAUAAUUUGUGUGCUUAGAUCGUAUGUAUAAUUGUAGGUGAUCGGAAACUCAAAUUUCAAGGGAGGAAUGCUGCUACAAUAGGCUUGCAAAAAUAAAGAAAGAACAUGGUUAUAGAAGAAUUGAAACAAGUCUAAAAUAGUGCAGGUGCUGAAGCCAUUACUAUAACACUGUUGCUAUAGUAAUUCUGGAGCAUUGAUAAAGAAGAUUUCACGCAAAAUACUUAGAAGAUUGCGAUAUGGAGUUUCCUAAAAUGGAAGAUAUGCGCCCUAGACUUUUGGUUGCUCUAAUUCUAAGAUAUAGAAGGAGCCACACUCAAAGAAAAGAAGAGAGUCGUCACCCAAGGAGAAAAACCGCAAAGAAACAAAAGAAAAACAUAAUUCAAGAGAGAGAUUGAAGGCUGCACUAGCGAAGAAAACACAUAGAUCCAUUGAAAAUCAGUCAUUCUUGUUCUUUUCUUGUUUUUAUUUAUUCACGGGGAUGUAUUUCGUGGCUAAAACUCUUUUAUUUAUUUUUCUUUCGCAAAUCAUGAAAUAAAUUUGAUUGUAGUUGAGUUAUGAAUGAUCUUAAUGGGUGUUUGACUGACAUAUUCGUGGUAAUCUGUAUUUGCUGCAGCAGUUUAUCUUAAUUGUAUUUAUUUUCUACGUCAUGUUGCUUUGCCGCUCGUUGUGGCAGUUGCUGUAAUUGAAAAUUGAAAUAAGGUUAUCAAUAGCAUUAAAUACCCACCGCAUGAUUGAUGAUUUUCAACAUAAUUCGUAACCAAUAAUGAUUUUUGUAAUGGUAGUAUGGCACCCACUAGGGAUGACAAUAAAAUUCGGAUUCGGCCCGCAUCCGCAAGGAUCCGGAAGAUCCGGAUCCAAAAAAAUUCGGAUCCCAUGUUAAAAAAUGCGGAUCCGGAUGUAAGAAAUUAAAAUCUGCACGAAUUCGGAUCCGGAUUGAGAUACAAGUGCAUCUGGAAAGUCGGAUAUCCGGAUCCGAUUAAUUUUUAUAUUAAAUUAAAAAAUAUAUAUUAACUUACUUAAAAACAAAUUUAACCCAACUCUCACAUUCACACACACGCUCACAACACUUUACCAGCAGCCACAACCCACAAAUCCCUAACACCCAAAUCCCCCAAAUUCCGUAGGAUGUCGUCGUCUGCCUCACGGCCUCGCCUAAGCCUCGUGUCCAAGCCUCGAUCUGAGUCGGUUGCUGUCGCUACGUGCUGCACGCCUCGAUCUGAGUCAGUUGCUGCCACUACAUGCUCGAUCUGAGUUAGUUGUUGCCGCUACACGCUCGACCUGAGUUAGUUGCUACUGCGCCUCGCCUCGCUGCGUGCUACACGCCUCGAUUAGGUUUUAAUUUGAAAAAAGUGUUGAAUUUUUAAAUUAUAUUUAAAUUAUUAAAUUUAAUUUUUGUUGAUCCGGAUAUUCGGUAUAUCCGCCUGCAAUCCAGACGAAUAUUACCCACAUCUGGAUCCGCAAAAAAAAAUUUCCGGAUACGAAUCCAAAUCCAAAUAUAAAAAUAUCAAUCCGGAUAUACCUGUAUCCGAAUUUUGCCAUCCCCAGUACCCACUGCCCGUGCAAUAAUACAUUGACCAUUGAUGCAAUAAGGUAUGGGGCCAUGAAACUCAUCCAAUUCAUUCAUUCACGUGUCCUGCAUUUAUUAUCUCCACUUCACCUUCUUCAACAUUUAUUGCCACCAUCAAAUUCCACAAUGUUCGCCCUUGAAAGUUUUUAUUAUUCAUGUUCAAGAGGGGUCCGCCUGUAAUAAAGCGCUGCAUAAGAUACAGCGGAAGUUUAAUUUUUUAUUCUAAAUUUAUUGGCCGUUAGAUUACUUUAUAAGCAAUCCAACGGCUUCGUAAUUUUAGGCAUAAAAUAGGUCACCGAAACAGAUGGUGGAACACUGGAAUCGGCAAAUAUCCUGGUAAUUAUCACUUUGCUCCCUCAUCUUUUAACUAAAUAUUAAAGACUUCAUUUAAUUUAGACGACUAUCAAAGACCCCCUAACAUAAUAAUAUAUUUUAAAACAUGUAAUGUUGUAAAUAACGUGAAUAAUAUUUAUAUUAGUGUAAACUAUAUUAAUUAUAAAUCAAUGCAAUCAUUUUUAAUAAUGAAAUUGAUCAUAAACAACUUAUAUCAUUGUUUAUUAUGACAUUAUAAAUCUACAAAUGUUUUGCAAUAUAAAAAUUAGUGAGACCUCUUUAAUUUUUUUUCUUUUGCAAAUUUUUGCCUAUUUGGUCAACUCUAUAUUAUUGAUAGUACCAAGUAUUGUCAUUACUCAAAAUAUUUUUGUUUUCAAUAUUAUUUGUACUAGUGACUAAUAUAAAUAGUACAAUUUAGUUCUGGAUAUGGGUAACUAUAAGAUGAAAAAUCUUAUUAAAAAUAUUUCACACAAAUUUCUAAGAAAUUCAUUAAAUUACUUUUUAUGGUCUCAUUUACUCACUAAUUUGAAGUCACAAAAAAUUCUAUGAAUUGUUAUAGGAGCUUAUACAUGAUUACAUGUAAUGUUAAUAUUUAAUGAUAUUGUUUUAUUACUAGUAUUAUGAUUAAUGAUACUAUAACUCUUAAUAUCCAUUACUAAUGUUGUUAAUAAGUAUCUUUGUUAGCCUUACUAUUAUUAUUGGUAAAUUGAACACAUAUAUGAUAAUUUUAUCAAUAUCACUUUUCUUUUAAUCAAAAUGAGCGUAUGUUCUAAAUAUAACAACAUUUUAUCGUAAUAAACUUUUUAAUAAUUUAUUGAGAAAUGUUGCUAAUUAUCAUUGUAAAUUAUUGUCGACAUUAUAUUAUAAAAGCUAAAUAAUUAAUAAUGUAACUAUAAUAUUACAUUGUUAUUUAAAAUAAAGUAUGUAUCUCUUUGUAUAUUUAUGGGAGUAGGUUUUUGAGUUAAUAUUCGGUGGAUCGUUGGACUUUACCAUAAAGUGCAUGUAUACAGAUUAUCAAAUACCAUUAAAUUAUAGUUUAUAAUGUACAUAUAAAUUGUAAAUUUAAAAAUAUUAUAUAAUAUAUUACUCUAAAUAGUAUUCAAUUAAUUUUUUUUAUUUUGAUAUAACACUAAAAGAAUUUUGCUUCAUCUAGGCAGGAAAACUACUGCCUAAAUGAAAACAUAUUUACCCAUUUUCACAAUUUUUAAUUCUAAUAAUUUUUGUAUAUUAUUUAAAUUUUCAUAUUUUAUAUUAUUAUUCUUGAUACUUUUUUUUCAAAAUAACUUUAUUUAUUGUUCAGAAACCUAAAAAGAAAAUAUAAAAUUUAUUUUUUAAAAUUUCAUCAAAAAACAUAUCCUUUAGGCCUAAGGUUUCGUUUGUCGCUUCAUACAUUAAAAUAUAUAUUUUUUAAUCAUUAUUAAUUUUUUUCAUGAUUAAUGUUCUUAAUUUUUUUCUUGUCUUGUUAAAGUUUUGUAAUUAACUUAAAUUGUAUAACAUUUUGAAUUGUCAUUUCAUUUUUUUAUAAGUCUUUUUUUUUAAUGUUUUAUGCUUCCAAUAUAGAAUGAUUGGCAAGGGAAAAUAUUGCAAAGCAUUUGACGCAGAAACUGCUAUUGGCAUCCUCUCAAGUGGUUGAAUCCAAGUAAGGCUGGUGAGCAGCCCAAGCUUCAGCUGGCUGUCUCCAGAUCAAAGGGGAAAUAGAAAUAAUAAAAUUAGUUUUCUAUAAUCCCUUGGGAUUAUUUUAUCUUUUUUUCUCUAAUGGUGCAUAGUUGAGUAGUGAACAAGAAUUGGCAUUGGUUGUAAAUGAACUUUUUUUUUAAUUUGUUCUCCAAAAGAAAGAUGGUGUAGAAAUAAUUUCUCUUAAAAAUUAUAGCAUUGAAUUUUUCUAUUAGAGAAAAUUAAUUUUAAUAUUUAAUAUAUUUUCUUUUUCCUUGAUUGCAAUGAUUUUCUAAUGUGUUUAUAAAAUUAUUGUUUAAUUUGAGUUACUUUUAUUGUGUUUAAUGUACUUGGUAAAGAUAAAUUAAUGGCGACUUAAUAGAACUGGAUUUAAGUCAAUGUUACUUUGUCAAUCUUAAGCUAAAGAUUGAUGAGAGAUUAAAGAAAUAAUUUUUAAAACUAAAUAUAAUGAUGAAAAUUAUAUGUUGCACAAUUGUUUUUAAAAAAAUCUAAGCACAAUUAUGUAAAAUAAUAAAAUGAGCAUUAAUAUGUAAAAGAUCAAAAGUUUAAAGUAUACAUACGAUUAAAUUCAAGAAAUACCAUGAAGUAACAAAGACCGUUGGGAGCCGGGGGGGAGGGGAGUGGACUUAUACAAAUUCAUAGUGUUGAAAAAAAUUGAGGGUUGCAACAAUGAUUUUUCAAAAUUAUAUUGUAAGUUGAUAUUUAUUAAAAAAAAGCGGGGUCAAACGUAAUUUACCUCAAUAUUUUAAUGUUUUACUAUAAUAAAAUGCGACUCGUAACAACCACCUAAAAUGUUGGCAUACGUAAAAACAUUUGGAAUAUAAAACCAAAAAAAUGGUGGAAGUAACUAUUAAAGAGCUGAACCCAUAAAUUGGAACGACUUACUGAUGAUUUGGUAAAUUUCAAUGGGAAUUAGAGACAUGAAAAAUAAACUUGAAACACACACCUACAUGUUGGAAUUCAAUAAAAAGUCUUGGUAUAUAGAACCAAAAAAUAGUGGGAAAAAAGUGGGAGAGUUAACCUGAAAGUUGGAAUUACACAACGAUAAUUUGAUAAAUUCCAAUGGGAAAUAGGGACUAAGAAUUGAAUUUGAAACUUUCACCCAAAAUGUUGGAAUUCAUUAAAAAAAACCUGGAAUAUAUAACUAAAAGGUACUGGAAAUAAAAGUUGAAGAACUUAACACAAAAGUUGGAAUAACUUAUUAACAAUUUGAUAAAUUCUAAUGACAAGUUGGAAUCUAAAAAAUAAACUUGAAACUUCUAUUCAAAAUAUUGGAAUUCAUUAAAAAAAGUAGAAAUAUAGAACCAAAAAGUGGUGGGAACAAGAGUUGAAGAACAUAACGCAAAAUUGGAAACGGCUCACCCACAAUUUGAUAAAUUCCAACUAUAAGUAGGGAUCCAAAAAGUGAAAUUGAAACAUACACCCGAAAUUUUAAAAUUCAAUAAAAAAAGUAGAAAUAUAAAACAAAAAACUAGUAGGAAAAAGAGUUGAUGAAUUUAACCGAAAAGUACGAACAAUUUACCAGGAAUUUGAUAAAUUUCAACAGGAAGUAGGGAUAUAAGAAGUGAACUUGAAACAUCCACCCAAAAUAUUGAAAUUUAAUAAAAAGAGAAGGAAUAAAUAACCAAAAAGUAGUGGGAAUAUGAAUUGAAGAGCCUAACCCAAAACUUGGAAUAACUUAGCAAGAAAUCGAUAUAUUUUAAAGAGAAGUAGGGAUCUAAAAAUGAACUUAAAAUAUCCAUCCAAAAUAUUGAAAUUCCAUAAAAAGAGUAGAAACAUAAAAGGAAAAACUGGUGGUAAUAACAGUUGAUAACUUUAACCUAAAAGUCGGAAUAACCUAACAAAGAAAUUGAUAAAUUUUAACAGGAAAUGGGGAUCUAAAAAGUGAACUUGAAACUCUCACCCAAAAUAUUAGAAUUCAAUAAAAAGAAUAGGAAUAUAGAAUCAAAAAGUAGUGGCAACAAGAGUUGAUGAACUCAACUCAAAAAUUGGAAUAAUGGACUAAGAAUUUGAUAAAUUCCAAUACGAAGUAGGGCUCUAAAAGUAAACUAGAAAUAUCUACCGAAAAUGUUGAAACUCUAUAAAAAUAGUUGGAAUCUAGGACUUAAAAGUGGUGGGAAAAUGAGUUGGAAUAACUUACCAGAAAUUAGAUAAAGGCUAAUGGAAUGUAGGAAUGUUGAAAGUAAACUUAAAAUAUCCACGUAAAAAGUUGGAAUUUAAUGAAAAAAGUGAAAAUAUAGAACCAAAAACUGGUGGAAAAAUGAGUUGAAAUAACUUACCAAAAUUUAGAUAAAUCGUAACAAAAAAAUAGGAAUUUGAAAAGUAAACUCGAAACAUGCACUAUAAAUAUUGAAAUGUGACAAAAUAAGUGGGAAUAUAGUUAUUUUGUGACUUGUUUAUAAUACUUGUAUAGUUUCUUGUACUAUUUAUAAAUUUAAAAUUAUUAUAUUCUUUUGCUUCAUUUAAUUACAAUUUUAUCUUUUUUUCCCUAUUUUUUUCAUAUUUUUUUCGCAUUAAAAACAAAUUAAAAUGUAAUAUUUAUUAUGUUAACCGGUUAAAAACCGGUUGUACUGGUUGCGUGCAUGCGCUGUAUGAGAUACAGCGCUGCACUGUAGGUUGACUCGUUAAAGAGAUUGUUCUGCUUGGGCCUCUUGGCCCUAGCUAAUGCAUAAUCAUCAAAUCAUUGGCAUGGAAAAGUCUUUUGGUACACAGACAAUUUUGCAUAUGUUGAUCAUUUAAUAGAACUUUUAUCAUUAUAUCUAACUAUUCCUACGAUACAAUAUUUCAUUGGAUAUGAACAUAUAUGUCUUGCCGAGAGUAUACAUAAAGCUUAUAUUUAUUUUUACUACCGUUCAAUAAAAUCAUGCUAUUUAUACAAUCAUCAAAAAAACAAUAUGUAAUUUUUUUAGGAGAAAUUUUUAUUGAAGUAAUUUUGGGAUAAGAACAUUUCGGUUCAGUAGUUUCCAAUGUUAUUUUUCAAGUACGGAUGUAGCUCGUCCAAUUACAUCAAAUAGGUCCAUGAUUCCUCCCAAGUUUUGUUUUGUUCUUCUUCUUUUAAUAUCACAUUACCACAAUCUCUUAAUCAAUUCUAUAAUGGCAAAAUUUAAAUAUUUUGUUUGGAUUUAGAAUAAAUGGAACCUAUUUUUGAAUGAUUAAAAGAAAAUUAACCUCACAAAUACACAUAAGUAAACUCAAACUUUGUGGAAAGAGAAUUAAUUUACUAUUAGGUUAUUGGAUGGUUCUCUUGACCCUUAAUUUUUUAAGAAAAAAAAAGGAGAUUAAGGCCCUAACCCCAUUUGAGAAGUAUCUAAAUGCUCUUUACUCUGUAAUAGUUUUGGCAUAGUCUUACAUUCUUAAAAUUCAUUCAAAUGGAGAAGUUAGUGGACUAAUUUAAAAAAAAAAUAAAGAUCUAAAGUUAUUAACCGUUUUCUAAUUUUCUAUUAAGAAAUUUUUUGCUGGAAUAUGGAAACCUAUAAGCAAUUGCGAAUGUAUUGACCGCAAUUUGCAAAACUCGGUGACUCUGGAAUGAUCUCUCCGCGUACGCGUGAGUGCGUGUCGGUAUAAAUAUGAAGGACUUAUCACAUUGCCCACAUUGACGACCCACCCCAACAAUUAGGUUACAUGCCUCUUUCGUCAUAAAAGAUUAUCAAUUCUUAAUUAAUUUGGCUCUUUUCUGCCGUCCAAAAAAUCUUAAUUUCCCAAUGUUAGAUUUGAAUUGAUUGAAGAGUUUGAAACUAUUGGCACCUCUUUAAUAACUUCUUAAAACUCUUUUCUUAACGCCACCCAUUUAAUAAUUAGAAUAAGUUAAACUUUUUGUUUGCACCUAUUUUUAUUACUUAAAUACCCUUGUUUUCAUUUUCUUCUUUACUAAAAUCCCACAUUUUUCGUUGUAUAAGUGUGCAAUAUCAUAAUAUGGUCUUCUUUCUUUUGAAUUUUAUU
This 44692-nucleotide long non-coding RNA is filed under the name Citrus x clementina. Its description in RNAcentral is "Citrus clementina (C. clementina) long non-coding RNA (CCLE_LNC001929)". The record is from RNAcentral. Lineage: Eukaryota; Viridiplantae; Streptophyta; Magnoliopsida; Sapindales; Rutaceae.